RNAcentral lists this long non-coding RNA (61403 nucleotides) under Xyrichtys novacula (pearly razorfish). The record is from RNAcentral. Lineage: Eukaryota; Metazoa; Chordata; Actinopteri; Labriformes; Labridae.
CCACUUUAUUAGGUACACCAUGCUAGUAACGGGUUGGACCCCCUUUUGCCUUCAGAACUGCCUCAAUUCUUCGUGGCAUAGAUUCAACAAGGUGCUGGAAGCAUUCCUCAGAGAGCUUGGUCCAUAUUGACAUGAUGGCAUCACACAGUUGCCGCAGAUUUGUCGGCUGCACAUCCAUGAUGCGAAUCUCCCGUUCCACCACAUCCCAAAGAUGCUCUAUUGGAUUGAGAUCUGGUGACUGUGGAGGCCAUUUGAGUACAGUGAACUCAUUGUCAUGUUCAAGAAACCAGUCUGAGAUGAUUCCAGCUUUAUGACAUGGCGCAUUAUCCUGCUGAAAGUAGCCAUCAGAAGUUGUGUACAUUGUGGUCAUAAAGGGAUGGACAUGGUCAGCAACAAUACUCAGGUAGGCUGUGGCGUUGCAACGAUGCUCAAUUGGUACCAAGGGGCCCAAAGAGUGCCAAGAAAAUAUUCCCCACACCAUGACACCACCACCACCAGCCUGAACCGUUGAUACAAGGCAGGAUGGAUCCAUGCUUUCAUGUUGUUGACGCCAAAUUCUGACCCUACCAUCCGAAUGUCGCAGCAGAAAUCGAAACUCCUCAGACCAGGCAACGUUUUUCCAAUCUUCUAUUGUCCAAUUUCGAUGAGCUUGUGCAAAUUGUAGCCUCAGUUUCCUGUUCUUAGCUGAAAGGAGUGGCACCCGGCGUGGUCUUCUGCUGCUGUAGCCCAUCUGCCUCAAAGUUCGACGUACUGUGCAUUCAGAGAUGCUCUUCUGCCUACCUUGGUUGUAACGGGUGGUUAUUUGAGUCACUGUUGCCUUUCUAUCAGCUCGAACCAGUCUAGCCAUUCUCCUCUGACCUCUGGCAUCAACAAGGCAUUUCCGCCCACAGAACUGCUGCUCACUGGAUAUUUUUUCUUUUUCGGACCAUUCUCUGUAAACCCUAGAGAUGGUUGUGCGUGAAAAUCCCAGUAGAUCAGCAGUUUCUGAAAUACUCAGACCAGCCCUUCUGGCACCAACAACCAUGCCACGUUCAAAGUCACUCAAAUCACCUUUCUUCCCCAUACUGAUGCUCGGUUUGAACUGCAGGAGAUUGUCUUGACCAUGUCUACAUGCCUAAAUGCACUAAGUUGCCGCCAUGUGAUUGGCUGAUUAGAAAUUAAGUGUUAACGAGCAGUUGGACAGGUGUACCUAAUAAAGUGGCCGGUGAGUGUAUAUCACAGGGUUGAAAAAAAUUGCAAUUUUAGUUUAUUCUGAUGUUGUGCAGCCCUAGUUCAUGGUAGCAUUAGCCUCUAGAAAAAUGUUUUCUAUGCAUUUCAGGGUUUUAUUUGCACAAGUCCAAGUAUCUUUUAAAGAGUUCAAACUCAAAAUAUUGACGUUUUAGUUUCUGGUUUCAAAUUAAAUAAGACUUGAUGCAUCUAAGGUAUUCAUUUAAGUGAAGUGACUCAUGAUGAAUAUAGGUGGAUAGAGUCUGAUUCUGUUGUCUAUCAGCUUCAGGAGUUCAGUGAAGGGCUUUUGUAUUAUGCCCACACAUUUUAAGAACCAUCAGAGUUUUUUCCGCUCUAUUUUAAAAACCAAAUGUAUUUAGCAUUAGGUUAAAUGCAGGGCUAAAAUUGCAUGUGUCCACUACUCUUACUCUUGGCUAUCCUGACUAUCAUAUGGACUGUAAAGCAUUCAAUAAGUCAUCAUCCAGUAAUUUUGAGCUCAUUUAUUUCAGAUUACUUUUUACUGUCACAAACAUAAUGAGUAGGACCUGAAAACCCUUGUUGAGUCAUAGUCUGUCAAAAAUAUAAUUUUCAAUUUUCUGGCAAAAUCACCCAGAGGCUUUACUGAUCCUUUCUUACGGCAAUAAAACACAGCUUUACCGCUAGAGUUAAGCUCAGGUGCCUAAUGCGAAUUGUAUGAAGUAACACAGAAGCCAUUAUGAUUGGACAGAAAUAAAAGAAGGGAAAAAAAAGAAACCCUAUGACAUUAUACUCUUUGCUAAUAUUUCACUGAAUGUUUUAAAAUCCUCAAUCAUCUCAAACAUCCUGGACACCACCUCUGAAAGCCUGGGAUCUAUUUCUAACAAGCAUGACAUGAGAGGCAGCAAUAGACCUUUUUCUUCCUUUCUAGAGAAGCCAGGGUUUGCAGGGUAUUAAGCCAUUUCGCUCCACUGUCAUUUAGCAAUUACGCGUCUGUUGCGGGGAAAUAGGACGGAAAUCCUUGUGCAGGAGAUGAAAGGCCGGCUCUGCAUCAGAGAGACUGAGCUCAGACCCCAGACUUGCGCUAGCCGUGGUGGUCUCUUUUCUUCUCUCUCAUAUUCUCUCAUCCCUCCCUCUCACACUCUCACUUUCUGUCAAUAACGCUUGCCAAAAGUGGAUUCCCCUUCAAUCCCCUCGCCCAACCCCGACACCACCACCCCACCCACCAUCUCUUGGCUCAGUUUUGCAGCGCAGUCUCGGCGGACUAUCAGCAAGUGGCCACCUCUGAGUAUGGCACUGAGCUGCUGUGAUCUAACAGCUAUAAAAUGCCAAAUAAAACUUAUGGACAGCCAUUGCCAGAGAGCAGCAGCCUAUACAACACAAUGGAUCAUUGUUAUGGAAUGGAUGAUGUCAUGACUGCGCUGUGCUCACUUCUGCUCGUCCUCUUCUUUUUUAAUGCGAUUUCUUUAAUUGGAAAAAUAAAUACUAUCUCUAUGGGUUUUUUUUUUUUAAUGAUGUCAUGUCUAAUAUUUAUUGACCCUCUUUGCUUUAAAAUAUAUUUGACUCUAAAAAAAAGACAUCAUUUAAAAAUAAUGAAAGUUUGUAUUUUGAUUUUGUAUUCAAACACUUAGCUUUCCCCUUCUCUUUGAGCUUAUUUUACAAAUCCUACCUUUGAUUGUAUUUUCCAGAAGCAUCCAUUUAUGAUACGGCCCUGGAGGCAGCAGUCGAAGCAGGAUGACCCAGAUAUCCCUCACCACAGCAACAUUUUCCGGCCCCUCCUGCUAGAUCCUGUGGCGCUCGGGCCAGGUGGGACAUAUAAUUCCUCCAGAGUUCUGACUCCACAGGAGUCUCCUCUAGGCCACUCCAAUGCAUCAUCAAGCCCACAAUUGAUGCAGCGAGUAUAAAACACUGAAAAUUUAAAAUGGAUUAAAGGAUAAUUUCACAUAAAAUCCUUUAAAUUCUGUUUAAAGCUGGAUUUUAUUUUCAACACUAUUUUCAAAUCAUGACUGAGAUAAAUUUAUUCUUUAACAAAAUUUAUAUGUAUCAUGUUAUAUGGUUUCAAAGUCACCAUGCUUAUUUUAAGUAAUAGAUAAGUAGUAAAAGCACAUAAAAUUAGACUGCUAAAACAGCAAGUAAAUAUGUAAUGUCUGUUGAAUGUGGUUCAGGAUGGUUUUUGUGGGGAAUAAAGAAUUUAAAAAAAAAAAAAAUUCCUGGGUUUGGAGGACUUGGUUCUAUCGUUUUGGUGGCAGUGUGAAAUGAGUGCUAGAGAGGUUGAGAGGGGUCCUUAAUCAGAAGGGGCUUUCUUGAUCACCUAGUGAAUGCAUGGUUAAAAAAGAGGAUGGUAUGAGCUGAGGAUUUUGCUAGUCUAUGAAGCAGGGGCUGGUUUGUUUUGUAUUUGGUAGUAAGGGUAUUGUGCCAGUAUUAAUUGUUGAGAGUUAGAAUAGAUUCAGUGAGAACUUCAGUGUGACAAAUCAAACUAAUGUUGUAAAAUGAUGUAAUUGUUCUGUUCCUGUUUAUAGAAGGCAACAUGAAAAAAGGAAAUAAGUGGUACCAUUUAAUUAUUCAUUUAAAAGUAACGAUAAUUAUUAAUUUAUUCAUUCAUUUUUGGACUUAUUUAUUUAUCUAGAAGGAUUGAUGGAGGAGGAUGAGGGGUUGCUGCUCCUCAGGUCAUAAAGAGCUAUCUUGCGCAGUGUAAAAGUACGCCUCAUAACUUUACCUUGUAAAAUAUACGUUUGUGAAAUCUCUACCAUCUUUAAAGUAAUACGAUGAGCACUAAGUCUUAAGUGCACUCCAAACUGCAAUCCUGUAUUUAAAUACACCUCUACAGAUGGACAAGGACAAUUAAAUAAUUGCAUACUUCCCCAUUGGCAUCAUCAGCGCAGCAAAUCAUGGUACUCUUCUUGUCAAUGUUCAUUUUGCAAGCCAAGUAAUAAUUUGAUAAGUAGCAGUGAUAUGGUUAGAAACUAUGUGUGCAUAAUAAUUCACCUGGAGCAUUAUCAGGCAGGUAGUCAUUAAGUGGAUCAGCUAUAAAUCAUUGCCGUGAACUUUAUGUUCGAAGCAUCUUGCAACAGAGGUUAGAGGAAGUUUUCCUUUUUUUUUCGUUCUCAAUGCCAUAUAUAAUCAUGUCAGAAGUAUAUGUGAUUUGAUGUCUUCUGUUUGGAAGUUGCACUCAUAUACAGAUUUUUUUAUCCACUGAAAAAAAACAUUUUGGAGUAAAGUGGUUUUGACAGGUAAAUCUCAAAGUUGUCACACAGAUAAAUAAUGUUUUUAGCCUCUUCUUUUAGCUUGAUACUUUAACUUUUUUACGGUGAAGAAUUGAGGGGAUGGUAGGGCAAAUAAUGUGUCAAUUUUAGUCAUUUUUAUUGACCUAAAUGCCAUUUGUUUUUUGUUUUUUUAACUUAAAUCACAGAAAAUGUUGCUAUUACACACAUUUAGACAAUUCAAACUCAAGUUUUCAACAGCGCUUUGACUUGAAAAAGAAUUUCCUUAGGGAUGAUUUAAGUGGUUUAACAAUUAUUUUACUGUCUCAGCCUUUUGCUCUCCCUUAAGAUCAAUCCAUUUUAAGGAAACCUAUCCCAGCCAGUACACCAUUACAAAAAUUCACAACUUAUAAGUUAGCACUUUUCGUACGAUGAGUGGCAAAGACAUUGACUUCUGAAAAAUAUAUGGCUUUUGAUCCUAAAUGGACAAAAUAGGAUCACAUUAAAUGUAGUGCUGGCACUGUGUCUUUCACAGUCUGUGUGUUUUUUUUGGCAGCCACUUCAAUCCCCCACCCCGUGUGUGUAACUAAAGAACUCUGACCACAGCAGCACAUGCAUGCAGCCUUGUUCUGUCUUCUUCAUCCCACUGUACCAUCCCCAGCGGUCCCCGGCGUUCGGCCCACAAGCCCACCAGCAGGACCAGUCGAGCCGUCCACCCUUCAGCCAUCCUGCGCUCCGUCACCCUGGCGUCGCAUGACAUUCUUUCCCACAGGCAGCCACAUAGUUCCAGCGUCUCCUCAUGCGAGGGGGCCUGGGACCCUGCAACAGGCGGGGGGCACUUCAAAGGCCGGCCGGCCCACAGCUGCAGCCUGUCGCUCCAGCAGCCAGCUCCAGUUUGUAAUCAUUAUUAAAGGCUUGACCUCGGAGGCAUCUCUGCCGCUGUUCACACCCCCUUCCCACCCCUGAUAACGCUGCACGGGGCUCCUCUCAAGACGACUCCAGUUACCCAUCAGUUGAGUGGACUGAAAGGAGAAAGGCCGGGGCAUUGUUUCAUGCUGUUGUGAUGGUCAAAUUAAAGCAUUACUCAAUUUCCAAGUGCCGUCUUUUUUGGCAUCUUCACAAAACACCUGUGUGCCAUCAGUGCCAGUGAUGCUUCAGGGGCUGGGGACAGUGCCUUGCUGCUGUCUAAACAUGUCUUGUGCUUAUAAAAGAGAAGUGUAUAGUUUAAAGGGAAAUGAGAGUCACAGCUAAUUCCCCUGAAAGUGAUUUAUAGGCACAACAUGUCCAUGCAAAACACUUACAACUGAACUCGUGUACUCUCAUUUUCAAACUUCAAUCAUACUUUUCACAAUAAAAGAGCAAAUGUCAUUCCAGUUAAAUAGUUUACUCUUGCCUUGUGUGUCUGUUUUUCUUCCAUGAAUCAAAACAUCAAUUAAAGUUGAUGUUUUGAUUAUUCAUCAUUUUCAUUCCCCCCCCUUGGUAAGACUGUGCACUUAUGAUGACAUGCUUAUUGAAGAGAUGACUUCAUGUCAAAUACUCGUAAUUUCUGUUUGGCAGACUGUGUCAAAAAAAAAAAAAAGUACGUAAUAAGGCAGAAAUAAAUGUCUUCAUAAAAAUCACACAGAUAGAAUGAAAGAAACUCUUGGGGUUUCUAGAAAUCCCACAUAACCCACCCUAAAAUUUAAACAUUUGCAAACUCAGGUCUCAAAACCAAAGCAGACCUAUAGGUGAUCACAAAAAACUAGAAGACAUUUUACUGUCAUUACUUUUACAAACUGUAAAAUGCCAUUCAAAUACCACUGGACAAUAGAUUAGGAAUUCAAGAGAAAUAUUUUAAGGUUUUAUAUCGUCUACAUAUGACUCUGUAAAAGAUCAACAGAUUUAAUGGGAUACCAGUGAAUCUGAGACUGAAAUACAAAAGACUCUGUCAGAGGAGAUAGAGAGUAAAUUAACAAGAAGCUCUAAUACUGAAGUGUCAGCCUCAAGUGAAUUGAUAAAUAAUUCUCAACCAAAAGCUUUGAGAUCACGGGGAAGUGUGAGCAUUCCAGCUGGACUCCAUGACAAAUUUAUUCAGCCUAAAAAAAGGCUGGAGUAAAAACUAAUUUUAUACAUGCCAACCCACACUUAAUUACAUAGAUGUGAAAGGAAAAAUCUGGAUAAUGUAUAAUUAAUAAGUAGUUAUGCAAAAUACAACCUCGACAGGCUGAGACAAGACCUUUGCAUACAUAUCACCAAAGAAGAAAAAAUGUUUUCUGCAAACUAACAACACUUUUUUACUCCGCCUAUAAGUUUUGGAGAAGGGCCUGGAUAAAACAGCCAGGGUUUUUUUAAAACAGUCAGGUGAAGCUAAUUAAACACUGGCUAACCUUGGAUUGAUUAGCGCAAAUUGGAGCUGUCAAACAGCUAAUUUUCUAAGUGGUGAGAAAAUCUCAGAAUUUUAAAAGUAGUCGCAAUUAAUUAUAUUUCUGACUGCAUGUUUAAAAUUCCUCUAAUUUGCAUUUUCAAACUGUAUGAGCUCAAAAUUAAUGAUGUCAAGCAAUUCCUUGUAAGCAGUAUCUUGAUUUGGGAGUCAAAUGGAUGCAAUGAUCUUGACUUUCAGAUUCAUAUUCGCAUUAAUGUGUUCUUCCCAUUACUACUAUUAUACUUCCCAUAAUAGUAAAUAGCGACCCGAGCAUGUCCCCUGGAUUUGACCACAGGUGUGCAGAGAUUUGUACGCUCCAAUAUGAAUAGCAGUCUGUCGUGUCGGCAUGUAGGUGUUGUGCGAAACACGAAAACAGUAGGUACAACAAAAAAAUACUCGUGCACUUUUGAAACAUACUACAAAGUUAAUACUGCACAUUACAUGUUUUUUAUGUCAUGCAGGCCUCUUAGAUAAGUCAUUACAGUGUGAGCCAUGAGAUUUUCCCUUUAGUUUUAAGCAGACAAAUGUUUUCACAUCAUAGUUAUGAUCAGUUUGCUUUACGUUACAUUACACAGCCAGUGCCAAUAUUGUAUAUUUGCACAACUUCAUACUGGUGCUGGAACAGUAUAUCAUGCAGCCCUGUCCAAAUAUGUCUAAAAAGCCACUGGGUUCUGUGCAGGUCUGGAGUUUGAGUGGUAUCUUUAGACUGACUGAGGUACGUGAACUUAAAACCCAUACAACUUUGAGGUAAAAGAAAAAUAUGUGCAAUCUUACUCUGGCUUGUGCAUGAAUGAUUCCACCAAUGUCCACCAAUCACUCCUUUGCAAAUGGCUCGAGAGUUUCUAAUGUGCAUGUAAGCUGUUCUGUGAUGCAGGGACCUGUGGAUAGAUUUUGCAGCCCCCCAGCACUCCCGAGAUCGACCUUUUGAGUCAAUAUUAAAUACAGUGUUUGAAGCCUGUCGUCAGCAGCUUUAUUGACAUUUCUCUCAUUUCAAAAGCCUCUUGAUUAGUAGUUGAGUUGGCCGGCAGUAAAAAAAGGUUUUAGCAAUGAAGAAAGUCACGACAAGUAAAGGGCAACAGUCUACGGCCCAUAUCCGUAUCGCUCAACAGCCUCGUAUUGAACAGCUGGAUCUAUUGUGUUCAUAUGGAUUGUAAACAACAUUGUAAAAAAACACUUGUCCAUAUCCGCUAUUAAACAAACUAUCUGCACUGAUAACAAUCAUCAGGAGCACAAUGCACAAUGCUCUCAUGCUUCGGUAAUUCUAAAAAUCUACAGCCAGAUGUUAAUGUGCCAAGAGCAAGGGUGCCCUCCUUACUUUUUCUCAUUAAUGUCUGCGCCGUUUUCUUGAGGUAAUGCUCUUGAGUCACUCCAAAAAACAGAACAACAGCAGGUGUCUAAUAAUGGCAGGCCUGAAAAUGAGUGGGAGGGGUCUUAACCAGGUGUGCAGCAUUGGUAACAAACAUGGAGCAUGAUAACCCUUCAUUAAAGAUUCCACACUCUGUACGGCAUCAAGCUGAGGCGGAGUAUGACCUGAAACUAUCUGUCUGUACGGGUAAUCAAUCUUCUCUUUUACUCAUUGAUUUCUCCAGUCUUUAUUGUUGUCCUACAUACAGUCUGCUGCUGUAUAGAAAUCAACAUCCUUUCAGACUAAAAUCAAGUUUAAGGUUUCAAUUUACAAGCAGUAAAUCUUCUCUUGACACCUUUGCGGCAAAUAAACAAAUCUUUUUACAAACGCUUCAUUCACAAAGUUAAGGAUCGUGUUGUUACUAAUGCACAAUUGGCAGAGAUACUCAAGUUUUUUCUGGGUGAGUCGUGUUCAGAGUUUUAAUGGAAUUGAGCAUUAAGCAAUCCAUCAUCAGGAGAUUAAAAAGUGAAACUUAAUACAGUAUUCACUUGGAUGGCUCUUGAACUCCUGAUCCUGAGCACCACACCUUAAGAGAUAAACUUCCAAAACUUUCAAAUCAGUCUUUUUUCUGAAGCAAUCACAAAAGUGACACUUUGUGUUAAUCUGCUUAGGGAAUACAAGAAAAGGAAUAUGUUCAAGAAUGAAUCUUGCACCAGGUGUUGCAACCACUUCAUCUACUAUCAUUAUUAUUGGGUUUUUUUUUAACUAUCAGUAACACUUUACUUGACACCUAUCUCUAUAACGCAUUAUAAAUAUAUUUGUAAUGUGUUAUAAUCAUGUUAUAGCACUGUAUAACUAUAGUUAUAAACACUCAUAAAUGAUCAUAAUGCUUUAUAGCAAUAAUCAUAACACAUUAUAAAGCAUUUUAUCAUGACUUAUAAAAUCAGAUAUUAUAAUGUGUUUUGCUUAUAGUUAUAAAGCCUUAUGAUAAUUAAUGAGUGUUUACAAUGAUAGUUAUUCAAGUUUAUAAGCAAAUUAUAACACAUCAUAAAUUUAUGUAUAAUGCAUUAUCUAUGUGGGCAUUGUCAGUGAGUUGUUAACAGUUAUAACACAUUAUAAUACCUGACCUUGUAAAUCAUGAUAAAAUGAUAUAUAAUUUGUUAUGAUUAUUGCUAUCAGGCAUUAUGAUCAUUUAUGAGUGUUUACUAUAGUUACACAGUGAUAUAAUGUGAUUAUAACGCAUUAUACAUAUAUUUGUAAUGCGUUAUAGAGAGAGGUGUCAAAUAAAGUGUUACCAAAAGUUUAAAUUACUCACAAAAAAAAUCGUAUUCGUCCCAAUGUGCUUGUUAUAAAUGAAAAGCAUAUUAAAAUAUAUAUAUAUACAAAUAUUUAUAAUACGUUGUAGAGAUAGGCGUCAAGUAUAGUGUUACCAAACUAUCCGUUCCAUUUCUAUGGCAACAUCCACAACACUGCAGUGUGUCAGCAACAAUUCACGCAAUGACUUGUAUUAUCUUAUUGAGAGAUCCCAUCGUUUUGCUAACAGAGAUGUAAGAAAGGAAACCGUGACAAAACGUGCGAGCAGAGAUAACACAUUCAGCUGUGUUUAUGCUCAAUGCUUCAAUCAAUAAUCGCAUUAAUCACUCAGUCCGAUCUAUGAGGAGAUGCGAGAUUUGUUUUUGUAUGUGAACGAUGUGAAACCUGUCCGGGGUUUCCAUGAUGGAUAAUUUAUGUCCUGCCCAUGUUGCACCCUAAAACAUAAAUCGUCAUGAAAACACGAUUCAGAAAUCCCCUCUCAUAUUACAUGUCAGACAUUUAGUGUUUGUUUUUAUUUCAGCAGUUGGCAGGUUAAAAAAGACACCUUCCAUCAGCAGUGCCAGUAUUUCAAUUAUCGCAGAAGAUAAGAUAAAAGCACGUUGAGGUGAUCUAAAGCAACCUCAGCUAUCUCACUUAUUUUGUAUCAUAGCAGUGAAAACACGACAUGCUCAGUCAGAGUUUAGUAAGCAGCGUGUGUGGCUAAGCAUCAGUGAGUGGAGUCAUUCCAAAGCUUAAGAGCUGACAGCUCCAAACAGAUGGAAAAGCCCCUCUGUCCUACGCAGCACGCUCUUUGUCCACCUUUCCACUUUUGUUUUGUUGAUUUGUUUAUUUUUGGUUUCUAUACAAUCAAGAGCCUCUUGAGCUGGGAGUGUGGAGAGACCUAGACAAAAUAUGAUGGCGGCAAUGGAUGAGAGGGGACGGCAUGGGACAGGACCCCCCAGGCGUGCUGCAGGGGGCCUGCUCGAGCUGGAUGCCUGGAAUGGCUCAGGGGUCCCAGCGGCACGAGCCUCUGACACUUAACAAGCGCCUCGCAGUUGUCCCUGGCCUUGACCCUGUCUCGUCUUAAGACACAUUUGGAGCUUAGAGAGGGGAGAGCCUCGGGGACAUGAUCAAUUACACUUUGUCAUAUGAUAAGAAUAUCUCUGAUAGGAGUAAAUUAUAACUGUUUUUCCAUUACGUAGUGUCUGAAGUUUGAAAGUCGAGUGAAUUUAGAUAUUACUACAUGCACAGUCACGCUUGCAGCUGAAUAACUCAUAUGCAGACUGUACUGCUUUUAUUUAAAAAUCUAUACUUAAAAAAAUAAUGAAUUUAACACUAUAUGGUAUGAGAAGGCAUGAAACUUGUCACGUAGAGCAGCAUGGUUGCACUUUUGCGAUGAAACGAGUUGCGUCCUGUUGGAUAGACAGAGACUUAACUCUGUGCACCUCGGGUGAUGUGACUGCCACUGUUAACAUUUAUAUCAAUGCUUCGAUUCACUUUUUAUCCUUAGUUUUUUUCUCCUGCUGCCUCUCCCCUUGAAGAAAGUCUGGGGAUUUCUAUCAGGCAGGCCAGUAGAUGUCUCAGCUCAGGGCUUCUUGUUACAAGCCCUCAACAGACUUUACUCGUGAGUAACAAGGACACAUUCCCUGGCCCCCUUGCAUGUCCGCCGGGAGGCUGUGGAUCACGUACGGGAAUCAGUAACGUAGUCUGCAGCCCGGAUAGAAAGUCUGGUGAAAGAACAAGCGUGCUUUUCAAAAGUCACUACAAAAAAGAGACACAGGCUGUUUUAAAUGAGGUUAUAUUCAGAAAAAUCCUCUAAAAAGAUUAUAGUCACCGGUUUGUUAAGCUGAGCUUGAAACAAAGUUAACUGUUCACUGGCACUGCGCACAUUGUCUGACACUGAUACAGUCGACAGGAAUGUCAGGCAAACGAGGCAUGACUAAUACGACUGUUUUUAUUUCAAAAUGAUUUAAAGCUAUAAAAUGUCAGGCUGGUUCAAGCCCAAGCCUGACGGGUCUACUGUGUAAUAAAUGUUUCCACAUUUAUAGAGAAAAGAGGAAGAGACUUGCUUUGCUAAUGUUUUAUGUCUUUAGUUUUAUGAGUUGCCAAAAUCAUCAUAUGGCGUUAUGUUUUUUAAACUCAGAGGUAUGCUGAUGGGGAAAUUCAUAAACCUUGAAAUACCAAUAAAAAUAUAAAGUUUAUGAUUGCUGCGAGGAAAGUUGGAUAAAAGUCACAAAACAGGCAUGACACACUAACAGCUGUGCGCCAGGAUCAGUUGAGUUCAAGGACUCGAAGUUGAAGUGUGCCACAUGCUUUAAUACAAACAUUUUCUUUAGCCAUUAAAGGAGUAAUACCGUUAAUCCAUGUUGUUGACAUGGAUGUCUUCUUAUCUAAAUGCCCGCAACAAUGUUGUUUCUAAAAGCUGGACCAUUAAGAAUAAACAGUCCACAUACCAGGCAGUUAAUGUGGUGGACAUUUGCCAAGUGUGGAUUCCAUGCAAAGUGAGCUGCCCCAAUCAGUACUGGCCAGGGAAUACACAAAAUGCCCCUCAUGCAUUAUGUGACACUGAAUUGUGCUUUGGAAAACGUGGCUUUUAAUGUUUCCCUAAUUGGGGUGCAUUAAUCAAUUGUGCUCCAUCAGCAGAGGCUAAGAGGGCCUGUAAGCAUCUGCCCACCAUCCAGCUCUGUGACCCAAGACCAGCUGGCUUUCAACCCACGCUCUGCUGCAAGAAAUCACUUUUGACUUCAUCCAUCAAAGCUACAUUAAUAUUCUGUCUUGAGCAGCCCACUACUUGGACUGUGAUCCUGGUCCUAAUUACCUUAGGCCCUGCCAGGAGAAGGUGACCGCAGAGAGCAGAGCGACUGUAUCAGCUCUCCCUUCCUGUCACUUACCAUACAUUUAUACUCCAUCAGGGACUGGUGGCUCUUACAGGCUCGUCCGCUUUGGCUCACGCAUUCCGCUUACAAAGGACGCAGGGGUAUCAGAAAUCGGGGACAAUGGCAACAACUGCACAUCUAAUUUAGCUCCAUGUUUAUCUCAAGUUUGUAAUCAGAUCUGCCGCACAAUGCGGGGGGGGGGCACAAUGGAAUGGUGAUCAGGGAGCUAUUGUUUUUCAAGCUAAUUAGCCUCUGACCAUACUUGUGAAUCCUCUGAGGUGUACAAUCCCGGAGUUUAAAUGUAGCUAAAAGUGGCAUAGGUCCCUGGUACCAUUAAAACGAGCCUUACAAGUCAAUGGUAUUUGGGGAUGUGUUAUAUGAUGGCCUAGUUCUCUGCUCAUUACAUCGCUCUGUUGAACAUAGCCGAGGACUUUGGGAGCCCAGUGACCGCACAACAGUUGUUUUUAGUCUAAUGUGGUCCAUUUAUCAGUUGUGCUGCCAGCUCACAUUGUCUUUCCCACAAUUGACACUGAAACUAAGCUCAGGAGAUUAUACAGCAAACUCAUGUGACGACAUUUAAGCUUUAUAACAGUACAUCUCCCAUCUUGCGUAACAAUUUUAUUGCACAUCAUUUUUAAACGGACGCAAUUAAACUUCAAAUAUUAUUCCUUAUUCGGAGGACACGAAGGCACCGCCUGAAGAGUUGCUAAUGACGGCAAUGGGAGUUGCAUGCAUAAAAUUUUAAGCUCUCCACUCACAGAGUACAUCUUACUUAUUAGUCGUAGCUGUUGAUUUAAACAUUCAGCACCCAGGGUGGGAACUGUUGCAGGGAAAGAAAGCAAGAGUUUCAAACCAGCCUUGUGGAAACAACCUUUGACCUCAGAGCAUUAGCCCCUGACCUGCAACAGGUGGAGACAGUGUCUUUCCAGCCAGUCAAGACCAAGUGUCAGGGGCUUUCUAGCAUCUUCUCUCAGCUCUUUGGACAAAUAUUAUCAUUUUGCUGAGGGCUAGUCAGACAAACAUGGUGUGAGGUCUAAUAGCACAUGUUAUUGUGAGUGUAGAUGCUGUGUCUGGUUGUAGAGGGAGUCUAGAGAAGGUGAUUGAAUGAGAAAAACAAGCCAAACACCUGUUUCACACUUACAACUCUCAGCAGUAAUAGAGUUUGAUGGGAGGAGGGGGUGCUGAGACAAAGAAGAAUUCAUUACUUCUUAGGGACUCUAACCAGGGGACAGCUUUGUCUGAGGCAUGUAGAUGCGGUGUAAUGUGAAUCAUAUUUGCGUAUUAUAAAUAGUUAUUUAAUCUGGUUUAUGACUUGAUCUUGCGCAGAAAUUAUUUUGCAUGUAAAACUUUAAGAACAUUUUUUAGUUGUUACAUUAUUUUAGAAUAUCUCAGACUUCUUCUUCAGGUUAAACAAUUACCCCAUUCCAAAUCUUUCUGGCUUUGCAUCUGCCAGACAGCACGCUGUUCAGGAGUGUAUAUAUAUCAUCAUCGGGGCGAGGAGGCACAGAGUGGUCUGUUGGCUGCAACCCAAAUGGACAAUCUUUGAUCUACAACUGUGUAGUUCUUGGGGCCAGGCGGCUUCAUGAGCCUAUUGAGAGUAUGAGGCAGGCGAUGGUUCCCCCAAAAGGUGUCGGCAAUCUCCCUCUGGUCUGUCCUCAUCAUGGCGAGAAUGCACACAAGUGGUCCUCCGAGACUCUCCCUGACGUGGCUCUCAAUGGCAAACGAGUUUUAAUGGAGAGGUCAGGGAGAGUUCCUGACCAACGGGGCCAGGGGCCAGGUGGCACAUCACAGCGUCCCUAUGUGCAGCUAUCCCCAGAAUGCGACACAGUGGCGUCGGCAAGUUUGCCUCUGAUCAACGAGGGGAGGGCUGGGCGUGAUAGCAUCGCCAAAUGCUGAGGGGACUGUGGCACAGGCCGCGGUGCCAACUCUGUCGAGCCAUUGUGUUUUGUAGUGUGGAAUUAGUUAAGCAGGGAAACAUUUAUCAAGACGCUGUGAACAAAAACUGUUAAAUCAUCAACAGACAGGAUCCCAUGGUUACCUCUUCGUUUGUUAAAGACAUUCAGUUGAGGAAACAAAAACUGCGGUCAAAACAACUGUGAGGAAAUUUCCCUUUGUGUCGACUAGGGUGGCCCUGGUGGACAAAACAGUGUGUCUUAUCGCUUUGCUGAUCUAGAAAGGAUACUUCCAGUUGCCUGACAGCACUUUUUAUGGAAAACACUCUUCCCACAGAUUGGCAGCAGGCAACUGUUUGUUUUUUUGUCAUGUUUAAGUAAAUAUUCGUGUCUUGGUAUCAUUACAUUGGUACUGAUUGUAUUUACCUUGUUUCACAACCACUUUAAAACUCCUUGUAGUAAAUAUGUAUACUGUAUCAUUAUUAUUAUUUUUUUUUUUUGCAAAACUUGCUCAUACCUCAAGUCACCUUUGGGUAUGAUUUUGUGCAACACAGGACUCACUUUGAGCAUAUACCUUGACUUUUUCAAGACUGCUUUAUGCUAUGAUAUGACAACUAUGAAACAUAUAUAUCUUGACAAGCUGUGAUUUAAAAAAAAAGAGCACAUAAAAACACACAAAAAAAUACUCUGAAAAAGUCCCACAGAAAAAAAUCCAAAGCCAGUUAAUCAAAAACACUGGGAGCGUAUAUCUGUCAAGAAACAAAAAGGUACUGGGAAACCACAAAGACAUGAGGUUGUCAACAAUCUGACAAACAGUGAAGGCAGCACAAGGACUUAAUACACUAUGUAACAAGCAACGAGAGACAGGUGAGACAAUAAGGUGCAGACAAUCACUGAGGAGGGAAACCACAGGAAGUUAAACUGCACUAGACACACAAGAAGACGGAACUACAAAAUAUAAUAGGAAACACUGCAAACUGAUCUUACGAAUUCAACACUGAGAACACGAGGGAAACUGCAACAAACAAACACAAGAAGAAAUUACAACAUAAUGUAUUAAACGGGUUGUCAGAAAUGUCCUGUAGUGUUUGCUACUGCUGGUAUUGAUGUUUUAGAAUUUAACCCCUUAGUGCACAGAGACUUUUCCAACCUUUCUGCAAGUCCCCUUUCCUGUCAUAUCUAUAUUACCCUUUCUCUCAGCAAACCAUAAAAGUACCUAAAAAACAUAAGUAGAGGUGCACUGCACAAUGAUUGCAUUCCUUUAUGGUGUUACAUGUUGCUCUUGGAUUUGGCAAUACAGCAAGCUACUGUAACCAGAAAUUAACCGAAACUACUGCGCAUAGUUUAUAUCACUUGGUGAGAAAUUGGAUAAAUGCAUAGUGAUGCAGAGGUUCUAGGUUUGUGUGACACAUGCGUGUUGUAGAAGUCAGCAUUAUCUUUUGGCACCUCACGUUUUUUCCACGUGUUUCAGAAGUUUUUUUUUUUUUUUUAUUCUGGUGUUUUGUGUAGUUUUAAUGUUACAUUUGUUUUGUAAUGGUACACAUACAGUAAUCUGAACAUGAACUCCCUUUGACAUGUGGAACUAUUGAGUGUAAUACUAACAAUUUACAAAUUUCAGCCAAGUUAAUACACAUGUCAUAAAGUGAGUAAGAAAAGUAGCGGCACCUGUUUGGCUCUUUAAGCACUGGUUUUAGUCCAUAUCACAGAAAUAACAUUAGGAAGUAUUAGUAUUAGGACGUAAGUUUCAGUGAACCAGCUGCUUAUUAUUCUGUCACUCUUAUUUCAAAUAAACUCGUGCCAAUUAUAAGUAUUUUCCUUUGUAAUUUCUAACUAUCCCCUCAUAAAUAAUAAUAAAAAAGGGUUCAGUGUUAUUCAUUAUUGAUAAAGUCAGUCUGAGUAAAGGAGACUUAGACCUGAGAUACUGUGAACAGAUAUGACACUCUGACAUGAAAGAAGCAUUAGGGUCUCUAAGGAGUGAUUCAGUAAUGCCAUCUACUGGCUGCAUACUGUGUCACUUCUUUGAAGAUAUGAGUAAACACACUGAUCUGAGCUAACUGGAGUCUUUAUUAUAUAUAUAUAUUUUUUUUUUCGUAUGGCUGAUUAAGAUUCACCUGUCCAAAGAACCGACAUCAUCUUACACAUUAGAGACUCUUGAUGUGUUUUUUCCAGUCAUUUAUCUUCUCUUUAAUAGAGCUCAGUCCCUUCUGGAGAGGAGGACAGGGACUAAUUAGGCUGCGUAUGGCCCACAAAGUGGCUCUGUCAUCUAGUGGCCAUUGAAGUGAACAAACAGUCCCUUGCCACUUUCAGCUGCUCAGAGAUAUUAGAAAACACAUUUUGAAACACCAGCUGUCUUGCGGUUUUCAGUGCACAAUCCCCUAAAACCACAAGCGUUGCAGUAUAGCAGCUUAUCUGUGUGCCCAGAGUCAGAAGAUAAUGUAACCAGAGCCCAUUGUUGUGAAUGGACCAAUAAAAAGCUUGGAGGAUGACAGUUUCCACAUUUAUAUGCAACUAAAUAGCUUGUUAAUGACCUGUUAACCAAUUUGUACAAAGCAUAAUGACCUUUUUUUUCAACACGUUUUAACCAAACUGAGGCACCGCGCUCACAGAGACCUUCAAGUAGCUGUUAUGUUGUGCCCUUAGCCGUGGCCAAGCCUCUCUGCACACACCCUGGCAAGCAUCAUUUGCACACUACAUGCAAAUUUGUUCACAUGCUUCAUUUACAUAUGAAAGAAAGAAAUGUUUGCACAGAUCCCAUCUAACAUUGCUCUCUAAACAGGACUGUAAUUAAAGAUUAAAAAAAAAACAGACAUGGAUGGAGGAUUUAUUCUGCACAUCCAAAAAACUCUCUGUAGUAGCUUGUUAGCAAAACAGCCAUAGCCGCUGAACACCAACUUGAGAGCGUAUCAUUCCUACCUUUUCUUUGUCAAUAUGUCCAAUUAAAGCACAAGUAAGACACUCAUUUUCUUUUAUGUCCUGCCAUGAAAUCUUCAGACUGGGGAUAUGUUUCCCCUCCAGGUGAGCAAAGCAGGAUGUUUGUCUUACAGCAGAAGAUGUAAAUCUGUGUUUACACAUCUGUGUGUACAUUAUCGCUGUGAGUUAUAGAAUAAAGCUCUGGAAAUAGCCAUAAAUUCAGCUCUGUGCUUUGGAAGAAUCAUUAGUGAAAAAGACAGUCCUGGGCACACAACAAUAUCUAGUUUCAAUUGAGUGAACAUCUGUAAUUUGUGUAAACAGAUGUGCAGCCUGAUUUUUCCACCUGCAGCUUUUAAUUAGAAAUGUGCACCUCCCUACUGGCUAAUUCUGUAAUUUAUCUACUUUGAGAUGAGGCUUUCAUUUGCACAUUGUUUGCAUAUUAAAUAAACUGUUUUGUUAUUGUAAUCCCAGGAAACUGAGCUGUGAUUCUCAGGGCCCAGGCUUUACCUGCACAACAGUGUAACAGCUUUGUAAAGCUACGCAAUCCUCAUCGAUUUCUGUCGUGCAUCUGAUAAAUUUUCCGAAGACAGCUCCUGUACCUGCAGUUUUAAAUGAGACGCUGAUAUAGAGUUGUUUAAGUGAUCAAAUUGAGUUGACUUACCUUAUUCUGUGCUCUUUGCACAAGUUGGAAAAUGACAGAAAAAACCCUGCCUAAAAAAGAAGAGAGUUUUAACACCUUACUCCUUACAUAUGAGCGAAACAUAUUUUGGGAUUUUCAUGUAUAUCAAAGUGUAUUCUGUGGGAGUUUCUCUCCUUAAAAAGCCAACUGUCCAAAAGUAGUCCUCCUCUGAGGAAUUAUAUCACUCUGGCAACAGAUGCAGUACAUCUGCUAUCAGUUGUUUUCAGCCUACCAAAAGCAGCACAAGGGAGUUCAAGCACCAAGCUUAGCCAUGUACAGUAUGAACAAGACAGACAUCCCAGGAUUAAAACAGGUUGACUGUGGAUUUAGGCAUUUACAAAUACACCAAAUCAAGACUCAUUAACAAUCCAGAGAAAUUGUAAUUUUGUUCAAAGACUUUGAAAUUAUUAACUGCUUCAACUGGUCAGCCAGGUCAACCAUAAUAAGUUUUAAUAAUAAGGGAAUUUUACUGCAAUUACUCAUACCUCUGCUGUAAGCUCUUUAUUCACUAUCUUGUUAGUUCCCCCGUCCCUCAGUCACUGUAUAAACGGUUAAAAGGAUGGAUCACCGUCUGAAACCAAAGGCUUUCGAGGACAUGUGUCAGUCUUGUACCACAUGAAGACUAUACCCAAAGUGUCAAUGCACAGCUUGACUUUUGAUCCGCUAAAGAAUCUCUCAUUAUUCAACUUACAGUACUAUUCAUGAUACUGCACUGUCAAGUGAGCUGCAGCAUUUAUAGUCGGGUUAUGAAUCUCAGUACAAAAUCAACAGCUAUUGAAAGAACAUUUCAUAACACCUGCCCUGCAUGUCACAUCUCUAAGCAGUCAAAAGGGUUUUUCCACUGCCUAAGUGUAAUAAAAAGCCUGACCUUGAUCAUCCCCUCAGAAGCUCAGAUAAAGAGCUGCUCAAAACGUAAAGAGCGAGGAUCCUCUCCUUGCCUUCUUUUUACUAAGCUGACAAGUCCUGAAUAAUGAUAUGGUAAAAUACUUUAGCUCCAUUUAAAGCCUUUUAUAAACCACUACUUGAAAAUAAAUGUUGUCUGUGCUCUUUUGAUCUCAGGGCCUUCUUUAAAAAAGGCCACAAGUGGUAUAAAUAAAUGAAAAUGGGAUUAUCCACAGAGGGGAAAAAAAGCAUGUUGAAAACUAAACCUUUUAUACUCAUUUGAUAAAAGUCACAAGAAUUGGUAUUAAAUGUUCUGCACUCAAAGCAAUUGUAUUUCAUGUCCCAUUCACUCACACACCUUCAUAGGCAAUAGGUUUGUGUAAAUCCUGCUAUGCAACUUGGAAGCAACUCAGCGUUCAGUUUUUUGCGUACACUUUGACUCACUGGUAUGUGCAUUAAAGGAGUUCAGCUAACCACCUACCUUAGUUUUGAGGAGACUGUUGAACUGGAGCAGAAGCCAGGAACAGGAGGAGGAUCAGGUCGAGACAGCAGGAGUGGUUUGCUUUAGCCAAAACUGCAGGGAUUAUGGAGACAUGAGUUACUUUGGCUGUAUAACUUAUUUGUAAAGUAGUUGUUCUUUUGUAGCUUAUACUAUAAAACAGAGAUGAGUGAGCGCAAAAGACUUCUCAGAAAGGCAGCUGAAGAGUACUUAAAUAAAUAAACAUACAAAUGCUAAGUUAUAUUAUUCAGCAUUUAUAUAAUUUUGUUUCUUUUGACAGUUCAUGUUUGUGGAAAGUCAUUCAAUUGCAUCGCACAGCCUUGUACCAUUAAAAAAAUUCCUGCAAUGUGGAAUUAUAAAAGGAUUUGAAAGUACCUCAUCUUUGUCUCAAGGGUUGAUCCAGGAUAUAUGUUUAUUUUACAUUUGGCGGCAGCUUUCUAAAGUUAAAUGUCUGUCAUCAAUCUUAAUGAACCACUUUCAUUCCUACUGAAGUACAUUUAUGUUUGGGAGGUUUUACCCUCCUGGUCCAACAGAUGGAGCUAGUGCUGCACAGCACAGCUCUGCUAGGCUUUACUGUCAGGCAUUGUCUCUCCAGAUGGUCGAAGUAAAGAAAAAGGCUUGUGUGUAUAUCUUUGCCAUGUAUUACCUUCUCAUUCUCUUUAAUCGGCUCUACUAACCCCUUAACUGUGCACUUCAAAGCAAAGCACAGCCAUGUUGCCAGCUUUAAGCUUGUAAGUGGGAAAAACACUUACUGUACAAACGUGCAUGUUGUUUGCUUCCAAAACACUAAUUGGUUGUAUGUUUUAAAAGGUGUAAAAUACAACAUUCAGUGUUGAAUAGGGUUGUUAAUUUGCUGUAGUCACGCUGCUUAGGGAGUUAAAUGAAUUGAUGGCAAAUUAGCAAUGUUCAGCCUCCCGCCUUGUCUCUUUACAUUAUGUAGUAAUAUGUCUGCGGUUUAAGAUGGUUUGUUUUCAUUAUGGAAUUUAUGUUAUGUGGCAAAUCUUGCACGGACUAACACACACACAAUACACGAAAAAAAACAAGCAAAGUCAAGGCACAUAUUUUACCUUUUUAUAGAGAAAGAUUUAUGCAUUAGUUAUUGGUGUUCAGUCUUUUGUACCCCCCCGCCCGUGUGUGUGUGUAAAUAUAUAUAUACACAUAUAUAAUAUAUAUAGAGAGAGACACUAGUAUGCAGUUACACACCACAUGACUGCAGUUUUGUAUGUGCAUACAUCUAUGCAUUUGGAAAAAAAAUAACUGAUUAAAAUUCUGACUGUGUCUUAUAGUCUGACAGGUUGGCAGCUGGGUAUUGAUCAGGCCACAUUGAUAUAGAAUCAUACAGUAGCAGUAACCACAGAUAUCAGAAGCAGUUAGACCCUUCCAGACAUUUCAUCCUUUUUUUUUUUUAAUAAGAAAAAUGAGGGGGGAUUUAACCAAAUAAAUAUAUCUGUAGUUAAAUAGGUAAAAAAAAAAAACAUUUUGCCUUAUGUGAAACUCAGGUAGGCCUUGAGGGGUUUGCAGUGUCCAUGAGCAGCUGAUGAAAUCACAGCUGAAAAUCAAAUGUCAGAGUGCUUAUCUGUUUGAGUGUUUAGAAAAAAGUUAUGUGAACUGGAGUGAUGUGACAUAUCCGAGAAGCCUUCAUUAUAACUGUGCACAGUAUGUACUGUCUAGUCUUUAUUUUGUGAUAAGGAACAACUUCCUAGUCAGACAGAGCAACUGGGUGUGAGAAUAGCUGUGAAGGAUUCUGUGACUGCUGCGUUUGAUUUGCUUUUGCUGUUCAUAUUGUUUUUUCGCAUGGAAACAAACAAGCUGAAGAAGCCUUGUGACAAUCCUACAAAGACUGACUUUGGUGUUUUUCCGUGCGCUGCUAUCUGAUGCAAAAUGUGACGUGCUUUGUUUUGCAAUCGCACAUUUACGUGCACAGCGAGAGGACAAAGCCUUCAGAAUCUGAUUGAAAAGAUUUGUUUUCUGCACUUUUCAAUUACCUCUUACUUGACAUUGGAGCCCAUCUCCCACACAGUGUGCCAAUCUAAAGAUAGAGAGAAAAAGAGCAUCAGUUGAAAUGAAAUAAAAAACAUAACACCCCGUUGACACAUAGUAAAAGGAGGUGUGCUUCGUUUUCACAUAAGUGACAUAUCUGAAACAAUAGGUGAGAAUGUGUCUGUUAGAGCUCAAAACUUCUCGAUAAAGAGCCAGCUCUCCUGCUGGCUGUUGUCCUUAUGUUUGCAUGAGCAGGCAAUGGCACUGGUGCUAAAGGCUUAACCCAGUUUCUUAACUGAGUUCAAAAGCAAAACUCCCUGUUGUACUUCCCCCACUUGCAAAGCACCAUAUAUUCAGUAAUUAAUGCAAGACUAUCAGAGGCAAAAACAUUUUAGUUGGUCUAUUUUGCAUGUAUGGCCUCGAUGAGAAAAAGAUACUAAAAGUGUCCUUGAAGUGAUAGAAUAUGGACUGCAGAAGCUUCUCACAUAGCUAUUGAUAUGCACAACACUGUUUUUUUUUUUUUGUCUUCCCACACCAGAGACCUCAACUUCUGCUUUUAUAAUGAACCGCCCACCUCAAUCAAUGAGUUAAUUAACAUAUUCUAGACUUGCUCCAAGGAGUGUUGACGAAACUUAACACCAAUCUUUAGCUGCAGUCGGUUACUCUGCGGAAUGAAGACAGUUCCCAAGGUCGUACUAAUCAGACAACUGAUUCAAAUUAUACUCUGCCUAAAGGGCUCUAAAGCAGCAUCAGCAGAGAGUCCACUAACAAUGAAUGUUUAAAGUACAAAAAAAAAAUGCCAUUUUACACUCGGAUGCUCCCGUCCUGUUUGUCAAACUAAGCUGUUUUCUAAAAUUUGCUUUUCUUAAAAUGUCACGGCGGAGCUCAUGUGCAGCUUUGUUUAGAUUGCAACAAAAUCUACGCCCUCUCAGACUAGCUCCUCUGAGUGUGCAGUGCAGACUUAUUCUCUUGCUUGCAGAAAUGGGUACAUUAUGCUUAAUUUGCAGAAGAGAAGUCGAGGGAAUCAGUUACCAAUCUUGCUUUGAAGUGCCUCUCAGCCCCGGCUUCUUUCUUGCCAUCACCUGCACCAUGCUGCCCUCUGUCAGACUUAAUUGUUCUUUUCUCUCAAUAACCUCAUAGACGCCUUCUCUCUUUAUCCCUCACUCGCCGCUCUCUUUUGCUCUCUAACCCGUUCUGUCACUAAUGCUUACCCUUUAGGAGGGUUUUCUUUGCAUCAUCUGACAACCCCUCUUAGCGCCGAGAGCAAGGGAAGUAUAAGGCAGUAUCAUAGGCUUACACUUGCUCCAAUAAGCAUUCAGUUGAAGUACUUAAAUGAUGAAAUGCCAUAAUUUCUGGUGGUUUUUUCUCAGCUUCAGGGGGGAAGAGUUGAGGUCAUGGUUUAGUUUAGAUGUUGAGUAUUUCAAUUGCCUCUUUAAUUUUUUGAUUUUCCUUUUUAAAUCGCUGUCUGCCUGUCUGUGUUAGGUUUUCAUCUAGCAGAGAAACAUGGAUUGGUCUGUCAGCAACCACUGAUGGGUAUCCACUGUAAACUUGAAUGCGUUUUUGUCUAUUAUUUGUACUGAUGCUGUCUGUCUUGUGGACUGCUGUGACAAGUGACAGCUGAUUCCUUUCAAACGAACAAUAAGGAUUUGAUCAGAGUGUGAAGCAUGGAUAUAAGAGACUUAAAAAGAAUGUUUGUCAUAUUUAUUUUGCUUUGAAUUUCAGGAAACGUCCCACAGAAGUGCCCCUUAAUACAGCUUCAUCAUUGUCUGUUGACACUUGAAUCAGAAAGGCAGAGCUGCGGUAUGCCGUCAGGCCACAGAAAGGGCAGAUCUGAGUGUGAUUGGGUGUGCCUGGUUGGUGUGUUUCAGUGUGUGCAAGGGCAAAAAUAAUCGGAAUAAAGACCUGAUUGGAAUAAAAAUGCGCCAUGUAAACAUGUCAAUCGCAAGAUUCUGGUCCAAUACGGUUAAAUCGGAAAAAAAUUCUACUCUGAUAGAGAGGGGUGGUUUAUACCGAUCAUUAUUCCAAAACGCGUCCAUGUAAAUACUAAUUCUGAUCUUGGCUCUCUUACCAGACUCGGUCUUCACCCUGUAUUUAUUGAGGCCAGUACAGGAGGUUUCAUUAUUAACAUUCUGGCAUAACACUGCUCCUCCGGUAACAUAACAAGGCGUACAUACAGCGUAAUGAUGUCAUAUCUGCACGCACAGUGCAACCUUUGCCAGAACAGUAAAAUAAGUAAGCAAGGGUUAGCCUGGCUUGGCCACCCUGUUGCGUGAAUCAUUUGCCGUUCCUUCCCACAACAGUCUGGACUUCGGCCCAUUGGGAGCGUGUAUUAGAAAUCAGAAAAUAACCAGGCCAAUCAGUGACUGUGUUUCAGAAUUCGUUCAAAUCCGACGGGUCUAGACGAUUUCUGCCGACUUUGCAAAGUCAACUGCGGAAUUAACGGCAUUCUGAAUGAACGGCAGCAUGUGUUAGAUGUCACCAUCUACACAUGGACCAAUCAGUGGCUGCCUUUCCCUGUUAUCCGGGUAACAGUGGAAACACAGUCACUGAUUGGCCCGCUUAUUUUCUGAUUUCUAAUACACGCUCCCAAUGGGCCGAAGUCCAGACUGUUGUGGGAAGGAACAGCAAGUGAUUCACGCAACUGGAUGGCCUUGCCAGGCUAAGCAAGGGCGCCAUCUAGUGACAACAUUUAACAGGGGGAAAACUCCUGUAUUGGAUAAAGUGAGCCACUACCACGUUUUGUUGGUUUGUUGACGGCACAGGCGUAAAUACAGCUCUUCUUCUUCUGCGGUUGUUUUAGCGAAAUUAGACGACUCUGCGCAUGUCCAAAUACUUCUAAUCUGAAUAAAAGCUUGGAGCAUGUAUACACACGUCAUGAUCGGUAUAUUUGAUAUUGCACCCAUAUGAACAGUGAAUUCCGAUUUUCUGAUCCCUCAAAUUUUUAAUCGGAUCAAGGAAUUUUUCCCAUGUAAACAUAGCUUAUGUUACAGAAAAGAAAAACCACUGCAUGCAAUAGAUUAUAAAGCUAAUUUUGGAUAGCUAGUGCGAUAGACCGAGAGCUAUUUUUGGUGGCAACGUUUUAUUUUCCUGACUGGUUUUCAAAGGCAGGGUCAUUGUCAUUGUAAACACAGGAAUGCAGAGCAGUUGAAAGUAAUAUGUAUUGUGAGUAAAUGUAAGAGUGCCACCAACAAAAAUGACCUGGACACCUGGGAGUAAUCUCCAUGAAUGGUGGGAAAAAUCUGUAUUAGGCACCACAAUAGAAACUGGGGCUGGGAUUUUUCGGAAGCAUGUAAAACCAACCAAUUUCGUGAUGUUUUAGUUCUGUAUAGGCCCAUGGCUCCAUAUGCAAUGUACCCGCAAAGAAAAGGAGUCCACAAAAGCAGCUCACAAUAUUAUCACAGGAGCUGUAUUCUCUGAUUUCAAACUCAGGGUGCUAUAAUGUUGGCUGAAAGGAUACCUCUUACAUUCAUUUUCACUUUUCAUUAUGUCAGUCCAGCACACCUAUGGAGUAGCUCUGCAUGAUUUGCAGCUCAGAAAAGUUCUUAUUAAUCUUACACUUAUGGCAAUGAAAACCCUCACAGCACUAUUCAGCCUCGGCAUGAAAAGUCAUUUUUCCCCCUGCUUUUCUUGUGAUAUUAAGUAAGACACAGAGUAUGAGUGUUUCUUUUCACACAGUUUUGCUAUAACAAAACUGUGUCCUUGCAGAAAAUAUCUAAAAGCUAGCUUUUAGCACCCACAUUGCUCCUAAUUUAGCCUGUUUAGCAUACGCUAGCUACUGUAACAUUAGCUGCUAGUCUUCAAGGAACAGCCUCAAGGUUCAGUCAUGAAUGAGAUUUAGAUCCAGCUCAUACUGGAGUUGUCAGUGAAGUGGCGUGCAUAAACAGCUUGCCAUCUUUAGACAAAGUAAGUAGCUGUCACUGUCCUUAACAUUAUAUAGCACUGUAACAUUUUAUGUAUCUACUUUAGUACAGAUCUGCAUAAUAGGUCUGCUUUAAUGAUGUACCAAGAAAAGGCAGCUUAUAUUAGAGGCUGCAUGCCAUGUCUUAUUGGAUAAACACUACUUUAUCUGAAAAUGUUGCUACAUAACCAUUUUUUUUUUGUCAUUUUACAAACAAAAAGAUUAUUGAUACUUGAAAUCUUUUUCAUAGGACAUAUGACCAUGAUUUUUGGUAAACCAUUAGCAACUAACAUUAGCAUUCAGCUAUAAGUUAGCAUCAUGUUUGAGAGCAUUCCUUGCUCGUUUUACUUUAGAUACUUGAGUGUGUACCACAGUGGAGCAGUAAUAAUAGCUUUAACUUUUAGGUUAUCUGGCAAGUGGCUGAAUGAAAGUUAUAGCUGUUGCCAAACAGCAGCGAGCUGACGGGAGAAACCCACAGGAUCCGGAACGGGUCUGCUCCACUCCAGCAUGGCAGGCGGAUCAAAUUCGCAAGCAUUAUGAUCAAUCUGUGUCAUUCCACAGAAUCCGUCUGCCGUCCGGCUCCGUUGCGGAUCGGCUCCGCUGCAGAUCAGCUCCGGCGGCCGGUUUAGAUAUGCAAGGCUUCUAUUUUUGCCAGACGCUGGAGCACAGCGCAUCAAUUCCGUGCAACGCAGCACGAGCAGCAGCGGAAGUUGUUUGCGGCUACAGAGUAAAAUAUCUGGUUUAUUUUUUUAAUAAAAUAAAGUCAAUACGUUGAACGGUUCUUAGCUCGAUAAUAGGAGAGAGGCCAGGGUUGUGGGAUGUGGGUGUUUAUAUAAACCGCUGUUUACACUGCAUAUACCAAUCGGCGGAUCUCAUUCAAUGUCUCACGGGGAAACACGCAAGAUCUAAUGAGAUCUCGUACAGUCUUGUGAUUAGUAUCAGUAAUAUCGUGAGAGCUUCUCCUCCAAUGACGGCAGUGGAUUGGAUUUGGUGGGCACUGCAUGCUUGCGUAUUUUAUCUGCCUGCCGGUCUGGAGCGGAGCGGAGCUGUUCCGGAUCCAGUGGGAUUAUAGUAUAAUCCGAGGGUUUAGUAAUUGUCUCUUUUACGUUGAGUCGCAACAAUUUCAUUUAAGAAUCAUAAUCUGUUUUUCUUUUAUUGGAAGGUCUCCAAUUAUAUACAGCUUCCAAACCUGGAACAUACCAGUGCUAUUCAAAAAAAACAACAUUAGUUUUCCAACCUUUAGCUCUAAACUUUAAAUCAUCAUCAACAAUUAAUGACAGAUUAUGAACUCUUUAUUACAGGAACUUUGAAAUGAGUGUGGCAGAGUUUUAUGAACGUGGCCAAGCUUUAUGAGUGUCUACGGAUCGAAAAGUCUGCUGCGAUGUUUAAUUUUCAUGUUAUCAAGGAGGUGUGAGGAGAGGAGUGAAAGCUCUGGGCUGUGUCAUAAAAAUGCCAAGGCUGAGGCAUUGACAGUGAGUAGAAAAAUAAAACCUGUGCUCAGUGUAAUGCAGUCUGAAGCCACAGGCCUUCAAAACUACCUUGCCUUUAUAAAACUUUUAAUUGUCUGUUUUUUUUUUGCCGAGAUUGUUCAUGUAACUCUUGCAUACUUUAAGAGACAAGUUUUGGAAAUAGUCAGACUAAAUUGUUCGCAGUUUGGAUUGGCAGUUUUUAAUCAAUACAAUGCCACAAAGUAUGUGAUCAAAGAUUAACAAAGAACUGAACAAAACUGAACAAAAAAGAAAUCUUUCUUUCUUUUUUUCUUUGAAGAAUUCCCAGACGUCUUUUGUGUUUCCUUGGAUUUCUGAUGACUCACCUACAGACUCAGCUCAGUUCACGUUCAGAGUUUUACCUGAUAAAAAGGUCAAAAUGAUCCAGACAGUUGGCCCAGUGAUUGUCUACCUGAUACUUUUGUUGGUAGAUUUGAUUAGAUGAGCAUCAAACUUUAACCGACCCUACUUUAAGGGAAAGGCUCUGAUACCAUUUAUCAUCCGUUCAUACAAGCUGUUUGAUAGUGACACUAAAUCUUUCAUCACCCCCUCCACUCCCUCAACCCUUUUUAAGUUUGUGUUUUUAAACACGCUGGCUGGGAGGAGCAGCACAAAUCGCUGGUGUUAUUUAAAACCCCUUUGAGGAGUGUUGGGAAGGUUUUGAAGCAGACUGAAAUUAAUACUAAUGCCGCUAUUUGACCUCCCAAAGAAAAUGAAUACGUCAGUCAAGAAUAAGUAUUUCCUUCUAGUUUUUUACCGCCUAUGGUGGCUGGCAAUGGGUUGGAGUUAGAAAGCAUCCUACUGAAACAGCCUGUCUUUUAAGGCAUUUAAGGCUAUAAAUAGGAAAUAUAAGAUUUAUUUAUACAUCAUCAUAGAUCCUGCAUUAUAAAAUUCUUUCACAUUCCUGUGUUGUAAAAGGUAAACCAGUUUUUUUCAACAACACAAUUGAAUUUGUGUUUUACUACCUUUACUGUUCUGCUGAGAUGGACCUUCACAGGUCAGCUGGUAGCACAAAGAGUCUCUAAUUGAUCGAUAUUCAGCAUGGUCAGAAAUGACACUCUUUUAUUGAAAUGUAUCCAUAAAUUUUAGCUGGUAAAUCACAUAUUAUCUUUGUUUUGAUGUAUUAGAUCUGUACAGUCUCUGAAAACACACUGAUUAUCUCUGUGGGAUAGAAAUCCCUUGAUGUCUAUGAUACACUUUGAGCAGUAGAGCUGCCAAUCUCACACAGCAGGUGGAUUUUAACAAUAGCAGUGAAUCAUACCAUUCUAUAUUGAGAGUUGUUAAUGUAAGGAUAUGCUAUUUAAGACAGCAGUUUGUCUUCAAGUUUUUGCUCGUCAUUCCUGUUGGCUGCCUUUUGUGAUGGGUCGCGUCACUGUGUUGCAAAGCACACAACCGAGUGGAAAGCAAUAGUAAGGAAUAAGCAUUGACACGCAUUAUAAUGAUGGCUCAAAAUAGCUUAAACUGUUCUCAACUGGAGCCACUUUCACAGUUUACAUCCCUACCAGUAACACCAAAAUGGUUGGAGCCCUGAAAAGGGGGGGUAAGCACAUGUCCUACAACUAGCUGAAGUUGCUCAGACAGUUUUAAAGGUUGGUCACUACUGGAAAAGUAAUACUUGUACACAUUUGUAUAAUCAGCAGACGACUUGAAUGAAAAGUUAAUCCUUUUUAACAACAUUCCAGAUUUGCUUGCUGCUUUAAGCCACAACACUGAGUCUGAAUCUAACUUAAAUGUAGUCAGGUAGGCAUUUUUAUUCUUUUCAGCCUUCCCUUUUUGACAUGCUUUGACCUGCAGCGUGACUCUUAUCAUAUUCUCCAUUUACUACUGUCAUCCAUCUAUCCAUCCAUUUUAAACACCGUUUACCCUCAGAGGGCUGUGUGGAGCUGGAGCCGAUCCCAGCUUACUUUGGGUGAGGGGGGGGGGAUACACUCGGGACGGCUGCCAGUCAAUCACAGGGCUGACAGAUACAGACAGACAACCAUUCAAACUCAUACGUUUACUAUCAACUCGGGCCAUCAGCUAUCCUAACCUUCCAAACUGAACUGCUCUUCUACAGCCGGGGCUCUCAAUUAAGGAAUGAGCUGUUAUCUGCAGCUUUUUUUCCCCCAAUCCAAUAACACAGUAAAAAUCUCACAUUUUCAGAGCAUUAUAUUUUCUAUGAAGAGUAUCAAGGUAGUUAUUGUAUACAGAAAGUAAUGUACUACACCCCACUGGUUACUUUUUAGAUAAAUGAUAAAGUUACAGAGCUGGUUAUACCACUUUUUUCAAUGCUACAGAACAGAUGUGCCACUUAAGUCAUUUCACAACAUAAACCAAGAUCAAUAUAACAUCAGUACAAAAAAGAAGAAGGACAUACACAGGAGUUCUCUUUUGUGAAGGCAACGGUAGAGAACAAGUAAACUGCACUGCUUUUGUUCCUGCCUGUUGAUGAAAAUCAAACCAAGGCUGCUUGGCCAGUGUCUGCAUCUUCGUCAUAUCUUCAUCUUCACUCAGGGUCUGUAACCACGAGCUUUGUGUAAGCAUGUUGCUUUUGCAGGUGUUUGGGAAACAUUGGUGGCAAUAGAAGCAGUGGUAAGUUGUUUUCAACAUCAGUGUUUCCCCUACAUUUAUUCCGCUGCUGAAUUACGUACACCGCUACUGAAAUUUCACAUGAUCAUUCAUAUCAAUGCGCCACGUAUGACAGUGGCGGUAACAGUGAAAAUCCCUGCUUUGUCCAUAGGGGGCGCCAACAUUGAAAGAUACUGAAAGAUCCUAACAGGAGCUUCAACCAAGCUGUCGGAAGUAUAGCAUCAUCCUCGAGAUAAAACAGAGAAAUACAAUAAAAUACCUCUCUGCUCUUAAGGCUGGUGUGUUGAUCACAUUGGUUUACAGGAUGCAGUCCACUAUAUAGAGAUAAAAACGAAGAAAAAAGAAAAUCAGCCUGUCAUUUUCAGGAGUCUGAAGUCGUUUUCUUUGCUGCUUAAUAUGGCAGCACCUGACCUCAUUCAGUGUUAUAUUUAAAUCUGACUUAUAUCUGAUUGCAAAGCAAUUGUACUCCUUUACAGCCAAAGGGUAAUUGACCCAUGGAGCAACAUUCACUGGCUGCAAAAUAAAACACUGCAGGCAUGAUGACCUCUGACAGAAACUGCAACACACUGUUGUUUGUAAUUGUGAGGAAACCAUCCAUUUAGACUUUUCCUGUAGGCUUCAAAUAAGCAGCUAGAAAAGUGCAUUCGGCAGAGUGCAGAUCAGGGUGCAGGUGUGUCUGGGGGCGUGUGAGUGGAAAACAGUAACCUCUUUACCCCUUCGUCACCCCAAACAAAGAUGAGUUGAAUCUCACUUAAUUGUCCCUCCCGGCUCCCAGACAGUCAGGAUGGCAGUAAAGAUAACAAAAAUGGGAUAUACUUUUCCGUAUCACGCCUUGUGCGAGUAUAUCAUAAUCAUGAGCUGCAUAUAAAAAAGUCACCUCAGUUGUAUUGCGCAGCAACAGUAAGGGAUCUUUACAGAAACAGUCAUGCAUGUGCUGAUAAAUAUUAGACCCAUGGGUGCCGUAGAAUCUAGGAUUAGAUGUUGACUGUGCAGGCUGAGCAGGAUGUAUGGAUUGGAUAUUGACAUGCUCGUGUUACUAAUGGCAAACAUCAAACCAACAUUCAAUUGGGCAUUUUAGAAAUUGUUUAUCGCCAGAACCUCAAGGGUUGUUAAGUGUGCGGGCUUAUACCUGCGUAUGUGUGAAGUGUAGGUAUUGAGAUUUGACAUCCUUUGAAAAGGAAGUGCACUGUUCUUUGUAUAUUAUCACUAUGAGUGGUAGUAUGUCCAGUAGUAAAGAUUGACAUUCACGGUGUAUAUGAUUACAUUAGGCUUUCAGUUUUUCCACUUCCACAAUGUAUUACACAGAGUGACACACAACUGGAGUGGUAUGAUAAUAAGAGACUUGGGUCUUCAGUUGUCUGACUUGUGUUCGACCCCUAUUUACAUAACAACAGUAAUUAGAUCAGCCUUCCCACUCAGCAUCAGGGUCACCUGGUCAUCUGACUGUCUUCUGGGCAGAAAGUAUUGGAUACAGUUUUACAUUCAGUUCUUGCAAUAAAACAAUAUGAGAGAAUCAAAAGCAUUUGGAAAACUACAGAGGCAUUAGAUCAAAUCUUGUUGCAUGUUAAAGUGAACUUACAUUUUGAACUUAAUGGGUGAAUAUUUCAUGAAAAUCUUCUCUUCUCAUGUUUUUUUAUGAAUGUCAGUUUUCCAUCCAAUGCAAACCAUGUAAGCUCCAUAAAAUGCUGCACUGCUUCUCAAACUGAAUAAAGGUUCAGAUUAAGAACAAAUUGCCCCUCAAUCGAAGGGUUGGAGGUUCAAUCCCAUGUAGGGUUACCCACACUCUUAAGUGUCCUUAAGCAAGUAGGCCAUCUAACCCAAAAAUGACCACCCCACUGAUGUGUAAAUGGGUCAGUGGUGAUGGGUACUUUACAUGGCAUCUACCAUUAGUAUGUAAGUGCAGUGCAGACGGCUGAAUGUGACAAAGGGUCUACCCACACAUCUAAACGUGAUCAAUUUGUGAUCAAUCACAAGGUAACUGGUGCUUCAUGAUGUACUUUUGAAAUAAUGUCAAAACACUGUUUGAAGUACACAUCUAUUGACAGGUUAGGCGUUCAUUCUACAGCAAUGUUCAGUAUGAAGAUUAUGUACGAUAUAAGGCUUACAUACCAUACUACAUGUGUCUAGCUAAUUGCAAAUUAAUUAACACCAUAGUCUGGGACCAUGUUUUCUACAUCACAUGCUGCCCUACUUGAAAAAAUAUCCGGUGGAAGACAAACCAACACAGAACGCUGCAGACGUCAAAUUAUUUCCUUAAAGACCGACGUCGAUGAAAAUCAUGUUUUUUUCAUGUUGUCUUUAUGUUCAUAUGACGUUUUUCUGAUGCAAGAGGACAUAUCAUGAGAAACCUAAUUGCAAAAUUGCAUUUCUGAGUAUUUCUGCAUUCAAAUCCCUGUGAACCUCUGGCAGACCUAAAUGGCAUGAUCAGACACAGUGGAAUUUCCUUCAUCACAACUGCAUGCUCCACCUCUGGUGUCCUGCUCUGAGAAGUAGAGUGGACGAUGGCAGAACAAGUGUGCAGUAGUGGAUUGCAAUGCUCGUAAGUAAGCUAAUUAUUAGCUUUCAUAAUGCCCCCCAACGACAUUAGUGCCUGAGAGAUGAAUAGCUCCUAUAUUACCUGCCACUUCUACUACACCGGCAAUGUUAGGCUACAAGCUAACAUGAAGAGGAGUGUGCAAAGCACCACUGUCGCCACCCAUGACUCUGAGGCCCAUUGCUAAUGAGCUACUGGAGCACUCAAGAAGAAGCGCCCUUGAAAAUGACACAGGUUGGUGAUUUUGGAUAAAAACUUAAUAAUCACAAUUUAACAACCACUGAGAGCACUUUAAAUAAAAAAAAUAGUACUGGAGUGGGACUUUAGGUAUCUCAAAAGCCAAAGAAAAAACAACCAUCCAAUAAAUACCUGAUGGUAGCGUAACAGUACCUGCCCCUAUGAAAUCAAAUCCCUUCUAAUUAGUUAAAUAACGAUUAAUGAGUGAUUUCAAAUUGAUUUACACAAUACAUGCAACCACAUCCACUGAUUAGGGACUAUUUCAGCUUGAUUUUUUUCACAUGCUCAAAAUAGUAACAUUUUACGGAAAUAUUAAGGCACCACUUGCUUUUCACCUCAGUCGGUGUUUAUGGGUUAGUAGGCUUUUAACAUAGUGCUAGAAAGGUAUUUUAUGUUAUAUUCUGCAGACUGAGGUCAGCGGCUAAAUCCUCAGGCGACUCGGCCAGAUGCUCAAGCAGCAUGGCUGCAUUUACGUGUUAUGUAGGCAGAAGGUGAUAAUAUAGCAUUUGUAUAUGACACCAUAUAAGUUUAAUGCUGUGCCUUGGCAGUAAAUAUCUAACAGAUUCAGUUUCAUCUACAGCUUAAUGGCGGGCAUGGGUCACCAAGGUAAGCUUUUAGCACCGGAGCUGACAGGCAGGAUGAGCUUAAUGGACUGGAGUUCCUUCUUAAGCAAAGUGCACAGGCGGAGGAGCUGGGCUGGGCCCUGCUUGAUUGGCCAUGACCUGAGGAAUAACACAGUGUCAAGGAGGCUGCUAUGUCUUGUUCAUGACUCAACAGAGAGCAAGAGCGAGAAUGGUUUUCACUCCUGAUUACCAUGUUGAAGUCCUCGUACCAACACCAGCACCCACCCGCUCAGUUCUGUAAGGAUUUGGUACUUAAUGAGGCAUGCAAGGUAAUUAGCAGUGACAGAAGCCUCAACGUACACGUACUGUCUUCAUCUUCCUUUUACUCUUAUCCCCUUCUCAUCUUCAACUCUUUUAUUCCCCCUUGUCUUUCAUCCUGUCUCCAAUUUCUUACGUCCCUUUCUUCAUGCCAAACAAACACAGCCUUAUAUUUGUCAAGAGGCCGAGUACAAUCAAAGGCACCGGAGCCGUAAACACACGUGACUGUAGUAGAUAAAGAGAAGACAGACAGAGGGAAAGUCAUCCUGUGAAGUAGGCACUCAAUUGAUGGACAGGUCUUGCACUUACUACCAAUGAUUAACUGCAGAACACUGACAUAUUUUUUACAGCUCCCAUAAGAGACUCAGUCAAGGUGAACGCUAAGACAUGAUGAAACUUGAGGCAAUCUGACCCCCAGCAGGUGAAAAUGAGGAAGCUGUCCUCUGUCUGAUCAAUGCUAACACACUCAUUUUGCCAUUUGCUGCAAGACAAAGCCCAUUUUUUCCGUGAUAUGAGAAGGUGAAAGAACAUUUUGUGACCUGCUUUAAAACAUGAAAUUUGGAAGAUACGCAGAAAGCAGCGGAGCACAGCUUCUCACCUUGAGGCAAGAAGUUUAUAGUCCUUCUCUACCUCCCUUCAGUGUGUAAAGUUCACCUCCCAACACUUGCCACUCAUCCUGAUGGGCUGUCUAAGUUGAAAUGGCAUGUAGCCUGAGGCUGAGGUAACAAGUAAAUAAAAAGCAACUGCAAAUGGAGAGGUAAGAGUUCCACCAUAAAACCAAAUGCCACAUUUACCUCUUUUCAUUUUUAUUGAGUUUGACUGUAAUAUGUUCGACUACAUGUUUCUUUUAUCGCUCUUUGCUCUCUUUUUUCAAACAAUAUGGUUUUUCGGGGCGGGGGAGACUUGAAAAGGCAAGCCUUCACAAUAAAGAAACCUCUAACAAAAUAACACAUUCAGUAUUUUUUUUUUUUUUUUUUUUUUUGACAGCAACAAUUUAUGUUGUGCUCUCACUUCACAACCCUACCUUGUUUUUCCAUAUUGACGGUACGGUGAGUUUUUAUUAAAAAUAUCUCAAGGCAGUUGGAAUUGGCAGGGCUGAGUGUGGAUAAAAACGUCCUCUGCACAUGGAUGCUCUCUAUCCUGUGCUCAGAUCCUGUAACAAGAGAGGAGGUCUAAACCACAGAGCUGGUUAGUCACGCGGACGGAUAGUCAGAGGUUGGGGAAGGCAGGGGAUCGACUUAAAGGUGUGAGGGUGAUAAAAGGUGCUGGAAGUCAAAACUGGCUUAAAGUGGUGAUCUGAAGUAAGCCUCUGGACUGGCCUUGUCCAGUGCUCAUUCCUGCUUCCAUCUAACAAUCCAGCUAUUGAUUCUUUGUUUCUUAAUGAGUUCUUUUGGGCCGUGUGGGAUUUCUGUCUGGCGCUCUUCCACUCGCUGUCUUUUCUUGAUGAGAGUGUGGUGCUGUUUUUCCUCGCUUUAAUAUGUUGUCCUGAAAACCUUCCGCUCAUACACAUUUUGCUCGUUAGCUUAAAUAUAUUAAUAUAUUUGUCAGGCAGGGUUUUGUUUUCAAAGGGAAAAAUACAUUUUCACUGUCUACCAUGUUUUAAAACUGGCUGUACUUUCUAUACUCCGCUGAAAUGUUUAUGCAUAUCUUCUAACUUUUUUUUUAAUAUAAAAACAUUUGUUAUUGCUACCAAAAAUAUUUACAUUGUGACAGUAUUAUACAAUGUCACAUAACCAGAGUUUUGAUUUUUUUUUAACAUAUACAGUGCAUGAUUUUAUGUGGACCAUUUUGAGUGGACUAUCAUUUGCAAGAAAAAAGUUAGGUGACAGUGUUGAGGGCUAAAUGCCAUCUAGACCGCAGCUCCCUGAAUUUGCUGUACCAAGAACCCUCAUAUAGACCUAGCCUCUUUUGUCUAUUUGUCUUUUCUAAAAUAACAUCGUAGUCCUGUAAUUAAUUCAUUUUAUGUCAACAGUCUCAGAAUUUGUCCACAGUCUAAACCCACAACACCAUGACAGAGAUGUGUAAAAAGUAAAAUGCAGACUUGUCAGGAGAAGAGAACGUAACCUAGGGGAGAUCGAUCAAGAAAACUUUUCACUGACUAGCUUUUACAGCACAGGCGCAGACAGAUCUGACACCUGUGUUAAUUUUCAGAUCUAUAACAUUUUAUUUGCUGCGCUUGCGUUCAUAUAUCUCUAAAUAGAGAUGCUAGGGUAAGGGUGUUAUUAGAGGGUGUGCAUUCAUGCCUACUUUUGCUAAACACAGGCUUUAUUUUUCCUUUAUAUACCUAAACCUACUGAAACACGACUGGUCAGUACUACAGUACAAAAGAGUAUUACCAACAUACAACAAAUGGAAACCAGAACGUACCCCAUGCUGAAAAUCCAGACCCUGCUACAAAUAACUGCAAAUAAAUAUGACCUAUCAUUAAAGAUUUAUAACUUGUAGUUACCAAAGAAAAAACACUGAGCUCUGAAGCCAAGUAUAUUUAUAACCGGCUGCUCUUUAUGAGUCUUGAUUUGGAAACAUUGUGUAUGUACCUUAUUACCGUUGGCUCAUUAACUAUAAAUAAUUAAUGACUUCUCUUCUUAGCACUGUUAAAUUCCCAGGACACCGCCUUGCUGGAGUGUAUUCCCUUAAGGGCACAUCAAUUUACAUAAGACUUUGAAAAAUAAAGGGAGAAAAAAAGAAAGGAUUCUCCUGCAUGAUUCGUCCAUGCAUUGGUGGCUUUGGUGAGAUUGCUUGGCUAGCUUGGCUUCUCCUGGCAACAAGGUGAGUCUCUUGAAUUACCUGCAGCCCUCAUCUAUCCAUUUCUCUGUCUGUUUCGCUUCAUGACAGUUGCCUAGGGUUACAGCACCGCUCCAGAAAACAUUUUUUUAAUGCUUUGCACACAGAGUAGGUCAGGAAACCCCCAUUGUGCGGCGGAUGAUUCAUCUACGCAUCUAUAGACACAUACAUAUAGUUUAACCCUAUGAGUUAUUUUUAUUUAUCUAUCUGUAAGCAACAUUUCUCCUCCCUAACCUCCCCAAACUGCCGUCUCUCUGUGUACCACUCUGCCGCGGUACAGACGAUCUCUGCUCCCUUGACUCACCAUCUCUGAAACACAGCACCAUAUGACAUCUUAUGACAUCUCCUCUGCCUCUGGUUUGUGUCAGCAUGGCUAUGCGGACACGAGUCAAUGAACAAGCCCUGACCACUGAACUGUAAAGUCUUUGGGAACCCCUGUAGGGGUCUGGUGCUGGAGGGGCAUGAGCCAGAGCACAGGGAUGAGCCAUCAACCAAAACAGCUGGAUGCACCUUGUGUUUUGACAGCUUAAAGUGAUCACCAUCACCUUCGUGUAACUCAAACUAGGACAGAGAAGGUGGUUUGUUAGCUUGUUAAGGAGUUGGGUGAAUGAAUCGUAGAUCAAGGAUCUUAAUAAUGUAGGUCAGAACCUGUGUGCCAUAAAAAAUAGAUGGGAAAUUAAGAUUUUUUAUUGUACACAUUCAAAAACCGUCUCUCCAGACGCUGUAAAAUUAAUAAAGAACUGUGACAGUAAUGAGAAAAUAGGACUAGAAAUUAUCAGUGAGAAUGGUAUGAGUAUUAGUGUGAUUAUUAGGGAGUAUUUGUUGGCCUACAUGACUUGGAAAUUUGUUUAUCUUCAUUGAUUUCAAUCGUUACAACACAUACUUAUUCUCCUGGUUCUUGAAGCCCCUGAGAUUUCACUGGUUAUGAAACAGACUCAAAAUUGUCAGCGGCACCUCUUUAUGACUUACAAAAGCGAACCAGACUACUGGCAAAAAGAUUGACAGCUUCUAUUUCAUAAUCUUUUAUGCCGAGAGGGAAGGUGAAGACAAAGUGAUUCACAGCAGAGAGGGGAAAGGCUUUUAUUAUACACUUUUCUACUUCGAUAUCCAAAGUGAGUGAUAGAUUUGACUGUAAGUGAGUUAAUUUUUUUUCUGUCAGAAAACCAGACUUACAAACGCACUGGACAAAAUCAGUACAGAUAUGUGGUGUCCCAUUAGCCCACUUGGGUCACCACAAAUAGAAAUAUCCUCACAGUCUGUAAAUAACUCCAAAAUGAGGUAAUUAAAAGCUCCUUCAUAUGUGGAAAUCAUGCUUAAAAGCAGCAGUAUGUGUUUCGUUUUGAUUCUGAACUGCUGAAAACUUUAUGUUCUUGACAAGGCAAAAACAAUCUGGUCCAUUUUGACACAGGCUGUCUUUUUCUUCAGGGGAGGUAUCUUGCUUGGACCUUGCAGACAGUCUCUGGAUGUUUUCCUGUUGAUGAAUCUAAGUGAAGACAACAAGCUGCUCUCCGCUGUCUCUGCCGCCCACCACUAUCUGACAUGCUGCUAAUGAUGCAGGUGUGUGACUGUUGUACAGUAAUAAAGGUCUUGCUGAAGCCAGAGUUACGUGUUGACAUUCUAUGCAUGAUAAAGACUCAAUGUGGGGAAUUAACAUGUAGCUUUUGACACUCUCAGGUUAAUCAGGUUAAUUGUUUGAAAAUCUGUUUUUCUCCAACUGUGCUCAUGUUGGAAAAUACACAGUGAGACCAGAUUCACAGCUGUUUUUAACAAUUGGUUAAAGCUCCUGUGAGAAACUUGUGGUUUGUGUCAACUUUGGCAUCACAUGUGUGAUGCCAGUAGUCUUCAAUUUGAGGGGGAAAAAAUAAAAAAAACGACACUAUAGUGCUGACUUUUGACGCACAAAUCUCUUAUUAAAUGUUACAUUAGAUGUUUCUUCAGCUGCUUGGCGGUCACCUAUAUCUCCUCGCACCUGUUUCAGGCAUUGAAAUGAACAAGAUACAACUUGUUAAUGUUGUCCCUGAUGGUCUUGUUUGAUUCUGGAUAUUAUAAAAGGCAACAAUAACAAUGUCGUUCUACUUCAUAACAGUAAAAAAAUCCUCACAGUAGUAGUGAUGGGCACGGCAGUUCUUUUAGAUUUACUGAAUCAUUAGAAUCAGUUCACUAAAAAGAAUCGUGUAGCGCUUGGCGGGGAGAAGCCUGCCACUCCGACCUCCUGAUCUGAUACACAGCUGAACGGUUCAGGAUUCAGUUCAAUUCAUAGCUUCUGGGACAGGGAGACGAGAGUGUUCGGAUGUGUUGCUUUGGCAAACAGGUUUGUAAAAAUGAACUUGUUUAUAAGUCAUGAUGUUUUAAGUGUACUGUCCUAUGGUAUUCUAUUUAUCAGGUCUGCUCUGUAAGUUGGGGUCAGUGAGUGAUUCGUUCACUGAACGUUUAGAAGAAUUCAAACUGAACAUACACCACUCCCUCGCAAACCGCUGCAAUGAUAGGAGGCUGCAGGUUUAAUGCACUACUUGUUACAUGCUAUGUCCUAUUGUAUGCAAGUUGUUGUGGUGGCAAUUUAGCAGUUAAAAAAAAAGGUAGUUUUGUCUGACAAAAAUGAUUCCAGAAAGUUUAGUUCAAUACGUGAUACGUUCACCAAGUGAUUCAGGUGUCAGCGCAUGUGGUCCCUCAUUCGCCGGCUGCUCGACUGGCAAUUCUGUUUCUCACUUCAGCUCAUCUCAAGGAAGUGAUUCGGUUCAGUACGUUCACUUAAAAGAUUUGGUUCUUUUGAAUGAAUCGUUCGCGAACGACACAACACUACACAGGAGUUGUGAGGUCUAGAUCGUAGAGAUGGGAUUUAUGGCUCUUUGAAGGGAGUCAGAUCUUGAGGCGCCAUUCAUUUCAAAGAGCCAUACAAAGACUGGCUCAUUGUUAUGUUUAAUUUUUUUUUAGAAGUCAACCAAGGCUACAAGUGGGUUUUUCUGAAUAUUAGUUAUAAUCUCAUUUGGCUUGUGUUUUCAUUGUAAAAAAAUACCAAUGCCUUGACAGUGAGAUCACUAUUUUGAAUUUUACCCUCACCUAAAAAACUUUGUGGCGCAGUAAAAACUACACAGGCUACAGAUAACUGAUAACUACCUAGUGUUUGGGGCACACAGGUGACGUAUUUGCUCGUCACUGUAAAGUGGUUCUCAUCAUUCACUUAAAAGAGCUGUUCAAACAACUGACUCAUUCGUGAACGUCACAUCUCUGCUAGAUUACAACCAAAGAAAACAUCCAUUCUGAUAUUUCUUGAUACAAAGGGAAAAGACAGCAUGCACGUUAUUAGACCAAUGUGCCAACUCUACCAAACAAACUGAAUAAUUUGCAUAAUGAAUCUCCAACAAUAUUGCUGUUCAUUUUGUAACUCCACAUGUGUAGACAGUUUGUGAUGUUCCAGUGUGGUCCAAUUGCACAGUAAUAAUAAAUGGAUAUCACUUUGACACUAUUACCCUGGAAGUCUAGAAUAAACGUUGUUUUAGCUCUUUUGAUCUCUGCGACCGACAUAACAUGAAAACCCACUCUCUGGCUAUUUAUGAAGGGAUGCAUGCCACACUCCCACACAAACAGGAACACAAGCACACACACUUUCUCAAAUGUCAGAGGGGCAAUGAGCUACUUAUUAGAGAAUAUGCUCUGGAGAGAAGCCCUGCUUUAAUUAAUUUUGUGCCUGCCAGUGAUGACGAGAGGAUAGGGUCAAUUAGGUCUCCUUGGAGACAUCUUCAAUCCAUUUGGCGGUGGCUUUGGUGAGUUUACUGCUCUGAAACUUUGGAAUAUUUAAUGAUUCAUUUAAAUGUGUCUGAAGAGAGAAACACUUACUGUGGAUGUAGUCACUAUCAACAGGAUUAAAGCAGUUAUUAGGAUGUUACAGUCACAGGAAUCCCACUAUGACAAUCGCCCUGGCAUCAAAUUCAUGAGUCAGUACCAUGAGUCAGAUUAGACUGUGCCUCUAGCUGGAAAGCUUUGGCAUGGACCGUGAGCAUUAGACCCUCAGCUGAACCACCACUAGGGCCUCAUGUCUGACUAACAAGUCUCUGAAGCCCUUAUUAGGCUUGUAUUAGCUCGACACAUUGUGCCAUUCUCCAUCCUCAUUGUCUGCUGUGUAGGGUGACAAACUGUUUCCAGACACUUCCAUUCUGCAGUACAAACACACACAAUUAGAUCUGACAGUUCCCCUAGAAGUUCAUUGUCCAGACUGUAUACAACAGAUGGAUGUAUGCAGUUAUUGUGGUGGCAGAAACAUGGGAGAUUAAACAGCUGACCAAAGAGACUUUUCCCUCUAGCUCGUCACUAUUGUGGACUGAACACUGUCCAGGGAUUUGUGGCUUGCCACUGCAGACAUGCGGUAAAUAACCAUGACAACCAGGUGGGGUUUCUAUGGAGGGAUCAUCAGGACCAGUCUGGUUGAUAAACAGAUUAUAAACCGAUUUACUAAUGUGGGGGUGUAAAGAAAAGGGUGUUAACUGUAUAUACAAUCUAUAAACCAAGACUGGCAGGACAUGAAUGAGAUCUCUUCUAAGAGAGGGGAUGGAAUAAAGUUUAGUGGUAAAACUUCAAGCAGUGUCCUAAUAUACAAUGACAGAACAGGCAUGCUGAUCUUCAGUUUAUUAUUCUGUAUAUCCUAGAGGCAGCAAAAUAUACUUUGGCUCAUUAAUCAACGUCAAUACAUCCUUGGAAGUAAACUUGAGGUCGGUGUAAAGGAGCAAAGCAAGACAAAUUAGGCAUGAAACCUAUAAUGAGACAAAAACUUAUGAACAGCACCAGAACUUUAUGAUAUAUUAUCUGACAGUGUGACUAAAUCACGAGUUCAAUAUAAAUUCUUUAUCUUCACACAUGAGACACAAAUAGCUGCUGGCUGCAAUCAUUUGCAAAUAUGUUAUUUAGAAACAUAUAUACAGCGUACUGUAUAGAUGGUGUGUAAUAGAUGCAUGUUCUGCCUGAGGUUUUGUUAAUGAAGGUGAGCAUUGCGGUAAUGAAAGCUAGAUAAUGACUUCCCUUGUCCUUUUUUAAAACUUCUUACUGCUGCACCUUUUAGCAACCAUGGUCAUUUGUAACUGGUAUAAUAAAAAUUUGAAUAACAUGGGAACUGCACUGAUAAAUUGACUCUUGAGUUGUAAAAAUUAGAGUCUUUUCCUUUCCUUUUGGUUAAAUCCAAGGUUCCAUGGAUUCACUUUCUCCAAGAUUCAACCCUCCAUCACAAAAAAACUGUCAUACUGCCCUGGAACAAAGUGAACUGCCGUUAGGGGACGGGAAAGAUUUUAUUGGUCAUGACUGAUGCCACCCUCUUCCCACACCCACUGAUAAUGUUUCAUACUAAUCCAGCCCUCAGUGACAGAAAGUUAUGACUAGCCCUGGUGCAAUGAUUUUUAUGGGCCCACCCCAGGGGACGUUGAAUGAGAAAGAAAAACUGAAUAAUUCAGGUGGCACAGAGAUUGGCCCUGGGACAUGCAAAAGAUUAUCGAUAUUUGCUUUUCCAGGGGCCUGAGUAAGCUGUUGUGGGGAGGUAAAGCAUUUCUGGUAGAAACUGUGACCCGCACUAAAGCAGGGGGCGCAUAAAGAUGAACCAAAAAGAUAUGUCGGACAUUGUUCAACCUAGUGUAAAUUAGAACAGCAGAGCAUCAGAGAGACAGUCCUAACAGUGUUUAAGGUCUGAAAAUAGCAGAACCAAUGCUUCUACUAACACUGUUAGGACAAAGAGGAACAAGAUGUUGCAUUAAGAUAAGCCCAAAAUCUGUCUGGAAAAAAGGAAUUUCUUCACCUUAUCUUCAUUGCAUCUGCAAUAUCUGUGGAGCAAUCACUAUGGGCAUCCUCACAUCAGAGUUUUAAUGUCACCAAAAUACAGUUUUAACUCAUAACAAUGUUCAACAACAUUGGUUUUCUCCCCGAUUCUUCUUCUCUUUCAACAGACACAUAAACAUUUCUUUUAAAGUCACAGCCUAGUCUCUCUUCUGCAGUUCUCUGCUGAAACAAACACUCGAGUACAGCGACAAUGAUAGGCCCUCAACAAAAGGCACUAGGCAGUUAACUUCAGCCAGUUUCUUUCGUACUGCAUUCAAGAGUUGUCUCAUUUUCAAAGUGUAAAGAAAGUACUUAAGUUUUAAAACAGACAGUGCACUUUAUAGAGAGGAAGGAUUUUGUGUACAGAAAAACAAACACACCAAAAAGUAAUAUAAAGAAAUACAAUAAGAUAUACUUCUUCCGCAGAGAAGCAGCUAUUUGAGCAGGAGAAAAUCCAAUGAAAGGAAAAAAUGAAUCCUCCAUGCAAUAAAAAUACAAGAUCCAAAGCUCCAGCUUUAGGUUAAAUAAAUAACUCGUAAAAAAGAACCAAAAGAAGAAAAAAGUCUGAAGGGAAAGUUAAAUGGUUUCAAAUUUGACAAAAAUAUAGCCAGUCAGAAUAGUGAAGAAAGGAUUUUCUCAGGCAGACAAAGCAGAUGCACCAUCUGAACAGCCUAUUUUCCUGCUUUGAUUCUUGCAGGGAUGUAGUUGGAUUCUUAGUGUCAGGCUAACAAAGAACCCAAAGCCCCCUCACUGUGUUUAUUUACAGUCUAGCUGUAAAAUAUUCAACUUGAUACCAAGAACAAAGUAGGCAAAAUGAAAAAGAGCAUACACUUGAGUUAGAUGUGCCACAGUAAGUACAUACUGCAUCCAAUGAUCAACCCCAACCUUGUUCUUGACCCACACCCUGGAUAUGAUUAACUCAUUUUACCUUUACUAUAACUAUUGGGGUAAACUUAGAUGAACAGUUUGGCUUUUAAAUUGGUAGCCUACUCAAGUUGAGAGGGGAGGGCAUCCCCCCUGAAUGAAAAUGGUCAAAUCAUCCCCCUUCUAAAACAGUCAUCCCAACUUUCCAUCUCUUAAGCCACUACUACUACUUAAACAUUUGAAAUAUUACCACCAUUCUGACGUGUGUGACGCUGAAAUUAAGAGAAGGAGCGGCGUCCUCAAUGACCGCGGGCAGCGCAUACAGCGACACACACACACACACACACACACACACACACACACACACACACACACCUAGAUACGUGCCAAGCAUUUCCCUUCCCGCCAGCGUCGCUAAUUAUUACCAACUAAACAGCGUUACUUUCUCCUCUCCCUUCUCUGUUGGACAGGGUAACCAAGGGUGCACACUUGGAGCUCUAUCAGCUAAUUUAAACACACAUUCACGUUGACAUUCAUCGCUCCACUUACCUGCCGGGCGUCCAUUCAUAUAUCCUGGCCCUCAUGCCGGUUCGUGUUUCCAAAUGAGAAACAGAGCGCGUGAUUUCCGGGUGUAAAAUCGAUAGGUAUGGCGGGUCAGAGUGGUCACAUGAUUUAAAAAAAUAAAUAGAUAAAAAUAAUGAAUCCCCUUGUUGUUUACCAUGAAUCUCUUAAAAUUAAUGCUCAAUUGAUUUGUGUAAAAACCUAGUAAAAAUGGUAAAAAGAGUUUGAAUAAAUGUGGUUUUUUUUUCUUCCAAAUUUAUGUAUUUAAUAACGCCCACUGGGAGGGGCUAGGGGGAGGGGGUUAAAAGAUGGCUGCCUGGAACUUUCAUUGAGUCAGGAGUUUGUUGCAUAGAAGGUAAGUGCCAAACUGACUUUUGUAUUGCUGCUGUGUUUCUGAUUUUUUUUCUUGAGUUAUAGUGGAACUCCUGCCUUGUUGGCAUUUUCUUUUCGCCGUGUACAUUUUGUUAAUAGUAUUUUACAUUUUUUGCACUUCUGUUAAUAUUUUUGCACUGGACCAUAGAAGGCUGGCUUUAAAUAAAUAUCACCAUCACCAGAUUUUUCUGACUAUGUCUGUGUUUUUCCACUAUAUUUUGAUUCUUUGAGCAAGAACCCACAACAGGGGGCUUUGCUUAUAUCAAGUAUACUCUGGGUAAGGAAGCAUGUGGGAAAAAGACAACCCCCCUCCCUUUUUUUUUUUUUUUUUUUUAUGACGUCAGUAAGUGGCGAAGCAGCGCUGGUGACGCUAAUUUGAUUUCAGUAUCAUGGCCAAGCGACAUGAACAGCUCGAUCCGAGGGAUAAUGUAAUAUAACAAUUAUCUUUGUGCUUUAGCAACAAUAAAAUGGGUACACAGUUGGUUUCCCACCAUGUGCACUGUCAGCAGAUCAAAAUAUAUGUCCCAAAUAAUAUAAUUCACCACCACCACCCCACCCCCCCACCCCCCCAUUUCUUUUUUUCAAUACCGCGGCUACUGGGUACACCUAUGUACUAUUGUCGUCAUGUUUGUUUUGAUAAAAAAAAAGCAUUGAUAAUUUAAACGGUUGAAUUGAAAAUACCAUUUAUUCACAGAAAACACUACAAAGCGCACAGGCUUUAGUGAAAUCCACGGUUGAGCAGUAAGAGAUAACUACCAUCACACCAUCAUAAGUGAGCUAAGCUGAGCUAUGAGCCAAGUAUGUCAAAGUAGUAAUGUCCUCAGAGGUCUGACUGAAUAGAUACUUGCAGUCUCAAGUAGGAAUUCCUUUUUAAAGUGGUAUCCCUGUCAUGUGGAGUAGAAACUAGCAGAGCAGGGCAGGAAGUAAUGGGGGCUUAAAUCAGCAGUGUUGAUUUGAUAAAUAAUCUUUGCAGUGCUGGCGAUGCUCUGCUUAGCAACGCUGACCCCCCAGUGUGAUGGCAUAUGUUAAUAAAAAGCGCUGCAGGAUGUCCUCUGCAUCCUUAAUCUGCUGGUGUCAAAAUGAUUUUGUGUGUGUUUCGUGUGUCUGAGUUUACCUGGUUUUGUUGUGAGGCAUUGACAAUUACUUCUACCAUAAGAUGCGUGUGGAUGAUCAUGCAUAUGCGCCAGUUUCUGUUUAUGCACAUGGCAAAUGCGUGCAUGCAUGCGACAGUGAUAGGCACGGCACCUAAUCUACAUAUCAAUUUUGCUCAUUUGAAUGAACCACUUAAUGGGUGAUGGUGGUGAUAAUUACCUGUUGUGCAGAGAGUAGGGCACCAGCUCCCACUGGGCCUCUCUUUCUCAGGGUGGGUCACUAAAUCUGUACACAGUACAGCAGGGUAUCUUUCACAGGGGACUUGUGUGACAUGACAGCACAGUGUGAGUCCUAGAUUUCCUUAAAUUGUCAACACCCGGAAAUCCUUGGUGGUGGAAGCUUGUACAAGGAGAACCAUCUUGCAGGAAAUGACACAAGGAAAAAGGGGCCUGACAUCUGGGAUAUUUUCAGCAGCGAUGUGACAAUUUAUGUGUAAUGGUAAAAUGUCUGCCUACAAUCUGUUGUGUCAAAAAAGACAGCUUUCAUAUGAUUUUAGCCCAUAGAAGGACAUAUCUUUUUUAUAUGUGACAAAACACAGUUGAUGGACACUAUUAGAUGAUACCACAGAGAUUAAAGUUGACAGUUUGAGAUGUCUAAUGUCAGUGUGAUCAACCAAAAAGGAGGAAAGAGAGGUUGUUAAAUUGUGCAUGAAAACGUUUUUUUUUCUCAAGCUGAAACAUAACUCAAGAGAAAUAUCACAGGCUGUAGUAAAAAUGUGAUAAUGUAAAUGGAUUUCUAAAACAGUGCAUGUCUAUAAUUAAUUCUGACACAUAGCAAUUAUCUGGGUCUCUCAAUUCAAAAAACAGACCUCACACUGUGUCUGUGUGAUCACAGGUGAGUCACGCUGUCCAACCCGCUACUCUACAUGGGACUGCCUGCAGCACCUCUGCCAUCAUUCUGCAUGGCUGAAUCCUGAAGAUGCCACUGAACAUCAAAACUGAUCCCACUCAUGCUCUACAGCUGUAUGUUCCCUGUCACUGCUGAACCUCUGUACUGCAGCCCAGGACCCACUGCUGUGGAGGGUCCACAAAUGGGAAUGAACAGGUGCCACUUUAAUUAUGUGCCCUCUUGUAGGAGCAUUGUAGAGUCAGCUGGGAGACAGUGGCCUUUUAAUUAACCUUGGAGUGCUGCUGUUGAAACGCAGUGACAGUGCUGCGAUGGGCACCUGCAAAUAGAGAUGGACAAUAUCUGCCAGCCAUGGCUUUUAUUUACAAGCACUGAGGUAGAGUGUCUGAAUCUCUUCACCUACACAUUCAAUUCACUUUUCACUCCCCCAGUCUGUCUAUGAAAAAUAACAUCAGUUUCACAUGUUUCAGUCCACUUGGCCAACACCACCACCACCAUCAGGCCAUGGCUGCAAGCGGCAGAUUGCUCCUCUUGUGUCAUUUUCCCUUGAAAUGAGGUCAUCUCACCCUCAGAAAACAUUUUCUGUUAUCUUAACAGAGAUGUCUGACAGCCCUAAAAUGAGCUGGUAUUGGAACUUUCAAUUUUUGAGAGCCCUCUUCUGGUCCAGAAGAAGGCAAAUAGAUCAGUUUGAGUAUAUCUUCAUACUUGAAUGAUGCCAGGAGUAGAGAGGAGAUGCAUAUUCCAGUAUGUUUAUAUUGGCAAAUGCUUCCUCUCGAUUUUCAAACACCAUUAGUGACUUUUUCUGUCAUAUAUUUGAUUGACACAUUUAUCUAAUUAUAACGAUAAUUUUCUGGCACACUCCAGCUGCUGCCUCUCACAUGUUCCAGCUCCCUCUGACCAGAUAAAACAAGCGGCGAGAAACAAAGCUUUGUCUUCUUUUUUGAUCUAAUCCAUUUUCAUGAAAUCCAAAUGCUAAUAUGAAGCUAUUACCUACUGUUACACACAAACACAAACCUCAGAGGGAGGAUUUUUGUGAUGGUACACGGCAACUUUAUUAAGUUGCACUUGUGAAAAAUUGUAUUUGCCAUUUUUUUUCCUGUUUUGGACCAGAAUUAAGAGACCACGGUUUUGGAGGGUUAAAUAAAUAAAAAAAAGAAUAAAAAAAUCAUUGGCUGUGGUACUGUGUUUAAAAAAGAUUCAAAAGCGUAACAACAAACAAGUUCUGAUUAAUUCUCAAAUGCCUCAAUGUACUUAUAUUCCUUGACCUACUUUUAGCUUUGUUUGAGUUUUAAAAUUUUCAGCCAGCAUUCCUGUUAUUUUCUUCUUUACCUGCCUGUCCUGAAACAAGCAACAGCUCUUAGUCGGUGAUUGAAGCUACAAGCUUUUACACAAUCUCUUGACCAGCACAACAACAUCACUUCUUCUGAAGACACAGGAGGGAACUGUCUGUUUUACAGGACAUCAUGAAUUAUACUACUUUUGUCGUUAACAAACUGAGGGAGCUGCAAUAAAGCGACUCAUCCCAAAUGCAAAAUGGGGAUGAGACCCAGUAGGAUCGUUUGACAUGUCAGGCUUUAUUUCGAGUUAAUCAGCUGUGAUGAUGAAUACGCUGGUCAAUUGUAAGGUCGUCUUUAGAAUUCAAGUCACCACUGGAUUGUUGACCAUGGAUUUACUUCUCACUGAUUCAUUUCUUUCUUUACAUUGAAGGAUACUUUUAAGCUGGGAGAUUAUUUGGGAGAUAAUUACAUUUCUAUGGGGAGUGUCAGUCAGAUAGAUUGAAGAUCUUUAAUCUGACAUUAAUCAUUCUGUUCCCAAGUCAAUCCUCCCCUCACACAUUUUUAUUUAUUUAUUUUUACAAAUAGUGUAAUUAUAUCUAUUCAACUAUUUACAACCACAACAACUAAUUUAUCAGAGUAUUUGAGAUCUGUGGCACAUUAUAGGCAAAGUUAUCUUAUGGAAAAUUUCUUUUACAUGCACUCAUAUCUUAAGUUUCUGUUCUGCUGUUUUAAUUUGCAAAGAUUUAAGAUUUUCUCUAAUCUUCAUCUUAUUUGUGAAAGAGAGAAUAAACAUUACUCUGGUAUCAAAGUAUAAUUAAAAAAUAUUAUGUUGUGUUGCUCCUGGUGAGAUAUUUGGACACAAUUGGACUUCCUGAACAAAGAUUUUCUGGAGCUGUGACUCUUGCUUAAGCAUGCAUUUUUAGGGGUGGCUGGGCAUGGUAAGCAGUAGAUGUUUACUUUAAACCUAGGAGGGUUACCUCCACUAAUCAUGGCUAAACGAACUUGUGACGAACACCGUGUUCUCAGAAAUGGUGACUCAGUCUAACCUGAAGUAAACUUAACAAAAGACACUCAGUACAUUUAUAUGACACUCGAAGUGACACACUGAAGUGCAUAUAACCACCUUAGUCUGACUAUAAUCUGAGUUUGAGAAUUCCGAUUAGAGUUGAAAAACUCUGGUUAAGAUACCCUGAUAAUGUGAUUGGAAUUCGAUUUUCUCUACCAUGUGACCAGUGUAGUUGUAGUAUGAUCGGACAAUGCAUAUGCGAUUUUUUCAGCUGCAUGUAUAUACAGACAAGGAGAGAAUUUAGAUUUGGCGAAAAAAAUAAAUUAUGAGCUUAGUCCGAUAAAGCUGUGCAUGCAAAUGCACUGACUAAGACAGAACUGAGAGGGACUAUUUCCUUCCUUCUUAAAGCUACAGUAUGCCUGUCAGUCAACCCAGCAGUACCCCUACUUACGCAACACUUACGACACCUACAUCUCUACAUAGUGUGGGCACACUGGGCAGAUAGAGACUCAAGAAGUAAAGUUGUUCAAUUUUGCUGUAAAGAUGGGCUUUUUUGAUUGGGUAUGAAAAUGGCUUCCAGCACUUUUGCAGCUAUAGUCCAAAGCAGCUAUUAAAGGAACUGCAGCUACAGUAUAUUAGCUGUUUUUAGUUCCUGUUCUCACUUAUGGGAUACAGAUCUUCUUUUGAACUAUAGUUUUUAUACUUACAUCUGUUGCUACAUAAAGUUAUUUACAGUAAUGUCAAUAUGAUAUCACUUUGUGAACUGUAGGCUAGUUAGCAAACAGAGUCCUUGUGUGCUCCAGUGUCAGCAAUCAUGCACCGGCGUAACCAUUACAUCUUCUUUAUGGCCAAUUUGCCCUUUUGUCAAGUUGCAAAGUUUCUUCAUCUUGAACAAUGCUUGAACAGAAGAUACAUGUCUUUGCUAAUCUUGCUGCAGUGUCAGCCAUGAGGACAAAUGUUAUAAAAAGAGGAAAUCAUCUCACAAAGAAAUAAUCCCUCUACUUGAUAGCUCAUUUCUCACUGCCAGACAUUGCCGGUGGAGUUCCACUUUUAAGACCAUUUUGAAAUCAGUUAACAACACCGUUUUGAGAUAAUCAUGUCAAGGGUAUCACAUUGAGAAAAUUGAACCAGAAUUUGGUUCUGUUCAACUCUUUGCAAGAUUCAAUUUACCGAAAAGAUCUCACACAUACAAACACGCCGUCAGAACCAGCGUUCAAUGUGAUUAUAUCGAGUUUUGUACUGAAAGGCUUCAGUGUUGUCAAAUCGAGUAAGAACUCUUCUCUCCACUGGACAAAUUCUUGACAAUUCCUGACACUGCUAAAGGAGUGAAAGGAUUCAUCAGUAUGUUUCAUUCAGUGCCCUUAAGUAUAGUAUCAGUGUCAGCACACAGCAUAUUAAUGAUACCCUUCAGUAGCUACUGCUGACACAAUCAAACCAGAUGUGGUAAUGGAAGAUGUAAGAGAUAUAACGAAUAUGCACAGGCAAUAUUCAGUCGUGUCUUCUCUAAGAACAUUUACUUGUCAUGUAAGUGGUGCGGUUUGAAAGAGAGAAGCUCCUGGUUAAGAAACAAACCUAUUGAGUCUCCCCCAGUCUCUCUGGCAGUCUCUGCUGACUUCUUUCUCCAAUGAAUUCCUAUUUACUGUGAAGGACUGAGCUGCAGACUUCUAGGUCAGAUACAGCCAGGCUCCAUUUUCUGCCUCCUUUUCAAGCUCUCCAGUGGCUCUUAAUUCAUCCCAGGCUCCAAUAGAACCUCUCCUCUGGCAGUAUUGAGUUUUGAGGCCUUUGGGCUCGACAGGUAUCACUCUCAGACAGCUCGCCCUCGUCUCACACCCACCGCACUCCGGUUUGAAUUAGUAGAAGCUCUUCAGGUCUGAUACUGUCCCCUCAAACUGUAGAUAUUGGAUUUUCUCCCUCAAAUUCCACAUCUUACAUCCGAAAUAUAGCUGUGAAUCGCCUUAGGGCAGCAUGUGUGUGUACAUGUGUUUGUUUGUGUAAUGGUAUGCUCACCGUGUUAUUGCUCACAGUGUCAGUGCGCAAAUAAAGUCAGGAUCUUAGCCCACGCAGAAAUUCAAUCAAUAAUGCUGCACUUGAUCAGGAUCCAAUUUGCCCGCCUUACUUACCUAACAGUAAAAUACAACAGCUUUUGAGUUUACUGGUGCUGGCUUCCUCUUUAUUCUCUUUUUUGUGUGUGUGGGUUAGACGGGGAAUGCAGCCUUGCUUCUUGUGACAUAACUGGCAUUCUUUCUUGCAAGCCUAUAGAAGUGCUUGUCAACAAGGCUACAAAACAAAUUCAUUUCUGAAAGGUCAGGAAGGUAGAGAGAUGUUUAGAUUGGAAAAGAGGCAGAGGUAACCAAUGAUUUAAAAGUCCAUCAAAAGCAACAGGAAACUUUUGUUACCUUAAAGUUUUAAUGUUUUACUAAUCUUCCUUGCAUCUGUGAAUACACAAUAUAGAAAUGCAAAUCUUCCUAAAAUGACUGAGAUCUGAUCUGACACAACAUGCACUACAAGUUCAUCGUCAUUGAUUUGCAUUGAACAUUUCUCUGCCAACAAACACACACUGAAGUGAUUUUACCGGCUUUACCGUCGUGUUUUGCUAGGAUUUAUCUCAGUUCUUUUCCAGUAUAUUUCAGAGCCUGCUUCUGCUAGCAUCAGAGGUCUAGUUUAGAGAAUAUGUCAAACUGAAAUUUUAAUCCUCUCCUCUCUCAUUGUGUAGGAGGAUGUUAUACUGCAGCUGUUUUGCAUAUAUUUACAUUUACAGAAGAUAAUAAAACACUUGUUUUCAGUGGGUAACACGGUCCAGGUUUCCCUUUUCUUCUUGGUGGCCAUUAACAGACGUUGGAGAGCUGUUGCUCGGAGAAAAAAAAAAAAAAAAAAAAAAAGUUGAUCUCUUUUAUCAUUCUUGCUCGGCUAAGUUUCACAACAGUACCCUCGCUUUUGACGCUAACGGCAACAUACUUUUAUCCCUUUACAUCAGGAAGUGGUUAUUUUAGCACAGAUAAAUUGAGAAGUUUUUUGACCAUUUUUGAAAAUACCCUAAAACUCACAGUGAUGCUUUUUUAUGAUAUCCAAAAACAAACAAGGCCAUCAAGGACAAGACUGACGAUUUGUGUGCCGGCGGGCUCAAUGCCUGAAACUGGUGCCAGGGGGUAGAUGGCAGCAGAGCAGCCGAAGAGACAGCCCUGUUUUUCAGACUACAUAUUCAUGAUAAAUGAAAAACUUGCUUGUUAAUAGUCAGCAGGAAGAGUUUUUUUUUUCACUCGAGCAAAAAGAGGACAAAAUGAGCAAAGACUACCUUGUCCAUCGGGGUGUAGCUGAGUAUUUCUGUGCACAGUCUGGUAGUUUGUUCCGUGAGCUUUGAGAACAGCAAAUUCACAAGUUCAUUUAAAUAACCAAAGGUCUGUUUUGUGCUAUUUAACCCCGCUCUCCUGAUCAUCCAUUGAUGACAUUUUAAUUAUUUCUCAUUUAAAUAAAUACCCACACUAUCUGUCAUCGCCCACCCCAGUCAGUCCAAAGAGUCUACCCUUUGCUUUCUUUCUGCGCCACUUUGCUUUGAAAAGGGUUCAUCACUUCAUGGAACUCCAACUGUUCUCCACAUGGGAUUCUGGGUAAUUAGAAUUUUUUAACAUUUACACCCUAUCAGCGGUAAUCAUAGAAAGCCCUUUCUGAAGAUCACACGGAUAAGUAACUUUUAGGAAACAGUGGUACUCAUAUUUCAACUCGAUGUUUCUUUGAGUCAGUGAAUAAGACUGAUGGGUGGUACGAAUGAUUCACUUACAGCAUCAAAGUCUGAUUAAAAGAUGGAUAAUUAAUUAAGUGGCUUCUCGGGAGAAGAUUGCUCUAUGUGGAUGAAGUAGUUCAAGCCACCUGAAUCCUAUUUGCCUGAGUCCCAUUUGAGCUUUCUUCCAUCCAUAGACUGCUAAUUAUUAUCACAGACGGAGGUGUUCUCCAAUCACCUAAUCCUGCACCCUGAUUACGCUUGACAUUUAACUCCUGAGUUUAAAAAAUCCUCAACAAAUAUGUAAAUGAGUUCAGAAUUUCUUCAUUAUGCAAAUAAGGUUGCUCACGCUUCUCACAGGGACAAACAGUCACAACCUAUGACUCAUUCUAUGGAACAUAACACGAGUGAAAACCAGAGUUUAUUAGAACUAAGGCUGUGCAAAUUAACCGUAGAGUAUGUAGGUCACAUGUAAGUUAAGCUUGAAGAGUGAUAGGACUGUGAUAUGCUCAGAUCAAUGGACAGAAAAUUAGGCACAGCCUGUCUGUGUUGACAAAAAACAUGUUGUUACAGGUCACGAUCACAGGGGGGCAGUAUGGAACCACAAUCCUGUAGUGACGUCCUCAUAUAAAUGAGCAGAGUUUAAGCUUUCUAAACAGAAUAUCAGCAAGUCUUUGAUAUCUGAUCCCAAAAUGUUUGAUCUCUGCCAAAGUCUCCAAUCUGCCAUUUUCACUCGGUCCCUGAUGUCGUUUUGUGCUGUUUAGACUCCCUGUAUUCUCUACAAAUGCAAAUGUCAGCUUCAAAUAAAGAGAUAAUGAUCAUAAAUUAAAUUAAAUAAGCAGUUAUAACACUUACUGGCAUCUUGCAUAAGGCAUUUUAAGAUUUCGCUCUGUGUCUAAUUAUUAACUUUGGGCUUGGAUAACUACAUGAAAGAGGUUAUUUUGUGAUGUGAAUGGUUUACAUCUCACUGACCAAGAGACACUUAGGGGGAAUGUUCAGCUCAUUAAAGACAUGACUCAUUGUUUUCUGUCCUUUCUCCAUUCCCUCUCUUUGACUACAGGCUCGGACUCAACCCCUGGGCUCCACCCCUCCUCCUCCCCUUCCUCGCUUGUGUGAAUAACUCAAUAACUCCCAUCCGUGGCACAAUUAAGGCAUUAUUACACCCUCCGCUGGACCUCAUGCUCCAGGGUGAAUCGUAGGGGCAGAGGGUUCCUGGCUAGUCCCCCCAUUUCCAUCCAGGCCCACUGCAAAGCACUGGCUACUCUUAUACCCUGACCCAUUUUGCACUCCCCGUGUGCCCCCGAUUCUGCAUAGACACACAAACGGUCCGUCUGACACGCUCGCAGCACGGACGCACACACUUAAGCCCCCCUCUGUUGUCUCCAUCCAGCAGGCAGCAACAUGGCAGCGUGAGUCACGUCAGUGCCAGCAGCUGUGCACUGGGCACCAUGUGAGGCGCUUGUUCGGCCAAGCAGUGGGAGGGGGUUGGGUGAACCUUGUUGUGGGGUUUAAGGGUGAUGUGUGGGUGCCUCUCCUCUGUCUCCUUCCUUUAACCCUUCUCUUUUGUGGCUCUAUAUGAAGGAAGCCAUCUGCCUACUGCCAGUCAUCUGAGGCUGUGUGACUGUGACACAUUGCACUCUGAGCCUGUCCAUCACCCACCCACCCACCCACCUCUCGCGUACACACAUGAAACCACUGAUCCCGUCGGGCUUUAUCCCUCUUCAGCUGUCUUUGAGAUUUACAUUUCUUGAAGGAAAAGUUUGAUUACCAAGUGCGAGUUCUUAUUCGACUUUCCUUGUUCUGCUCUUGUCAUAACAAAUGUUUUCUGGCCUUCUCCUUUGUGAAUCAAAUCACACUUGUUCAUUGUGUUCCUGUUUGCUACUUCAAAAAAGAACUUUGAAUAAACUUUGACUAUAAGUUUUACUGGCCUUCAACUGCUGUUGUAUCUCCCUUUGAAUAGGUUGUGUUUGUUGCAAAGACUGGAUAAAGUCUGAAGUGCAAGAGAGCAGGAGAAUUUGUUAGCCCCGGCGAAGUAACCUCCUCCAAAAUAGUUUAUCUAUGGAAUAAACCAGUGGAGUUGAGUCAAUAUUUGCGCAAACAGCCCUCUCCCAAGCUGAUCAACAGGGAACAAAAGCUCAUCCCUUUAUUCUUUAUCAUCACAGAAACUCCCUCUUUCUUGAUAACAUCAGAGACCAAGGUCUUGUUUUUCUGUAUUCUAGCUUUGGGGGAGAAUUCUUUUAUUUAGUGGAUUAGCUGAAAUAAAGGAAAAAUAAAGGUCAUCGCUGCCUUUAAUCAUCACAAUAAACAAUGCUUCAUCGUUUUACAGGAAUACACCAGACAAGCUCCGGUUUCAAACAGCCAAGUCUCAAGCUGCCCCAAACAACUGCUCAUGUUAUUCUCUAAGAAGCUCUCUCUGUGUCCUGCAUCCAUGUGCUAUUAAUAUUCAUACACGCUAACAUUUCCUUGAAUGCUUCCAACUCAGAGAGAUGAGUCUGACAAAUGGACUUGCAAUAGGAGAGAGGCUUGCACUCCAAAUGUCACGUCUGCUGCAGGCUGUUCCAUUUGUUUUGAAUGCACUCCAAAUGAAAAGCAAUUUAAGAGCUCCAACCGUUAGAGAGAGCCCUCACCACUGAAGUGCAAACCAAACCUUAAUUAGGAAAAUGAUGAUUGUUCUGUGCACGCGCUCAAUUUGCUUUACAAUUGGCCGAGCUUCUCUUUUACACCACCCUCUGACAAUUCAUAUACUUCAGCCUGUCUACAUUUGCAAAAUGUCAACAUGCCAGAGAUUAAAUUAAAGCAGGUCUCUGUAAAGAAGACACAUCUAUCACAUCAUUACUGGCAGAAGAUUAACAGGUUGACAUUUCUCUCCGCUAGAUUGGCACAAUAGGACUUGAUCCAGACGAUUCUCUGUCAACAAGCCUCGCCAAACACAGGCGCAUGAUGGAGAAUAUAAUUAAGUCAAAAACCUGUAACAUAUUUUUCAACCAAAGAACUCUAAAAGAUUGGAUGCUGACUUUGUUUGUCUUUCUUUGUGUUCGCAUGUCAAGGACGCCGUGCAAUUAUGCCGUUGAAAACAUCUUUUCAAUCAAUAGGACAAGAAAUCUGAAAGUAGUUCAGUUCCUCUCAGACACAUUCCUGUGAAGUGAGGCAUGUUUAAUGAUACAAGCCCAGAGCCCACGCUUCACCUGUUCUUAUACUGUGCAUAUACACCCAGAAUAAUUAGCAGCCUUAUAUGGACAGCAAACAUUUGAUCAAUUUCGAAUAGCCCGUAGUGUGAGUCCAGUGAACAGCGCUGGAACAAACAAGAGCAAACCUUAACACAGGGAAAGGUCAUAGGAUCAAUAAUUCAUUUAAGAUGCUCUGUGGGAUUGACUCUGCAGUCGCCUUGUAAUCAGGAGGGGAGAUUUAUUUAUCUUAACCAAGUUUAAAUCCACAUUCCUGUGCUAGAAAAAACAUUGUGCCACAUCGGUCGAUUUUCAGUACCCUCACAAGGCCACGGGAUUUUCAGUUUUAUUUACCCCUCAGGAGCUCGCAAGGAGCAGCACUUGAAUACUACUUCAACUAAGCAUCCAUUAAAGGAACUAUGUGAAGAAAAGAGGAAAUGCAUGCAGCGGGAAGUAUUUGCAGGUUAUGUUUAUAACUGAAAGUAAAUAUAUAUAUAUAUAUAUUGAGCUACAUUUCAUGUGGUGUCUACUGGUGUCGGUGGAAUACGCUGUUUUACUCAAUCUAACUGUAUGAGUCAUUUUAUCUAUAUUAUCUUUUGGGUUUUGUUUUGUUACUCGCACAAUCACCACAAGGGGCACUUCAGGUGAACGGGCAGGUAAAUGCUUCAAAAGGGACACAGGUGAAGCAGUGAUCUGGGGAACGGGAAGAACACGAGGUUUUCACCGCUAAUCUCCAACACCACUCUCACCCUCAUCACGUACAUCACAAUCAUCGUAAGUCGAACGUAUCUGUCUUUUUUAGUUUGUUUUUCAUGUAAUCAAUAAAUGGCAAAAUAUAACUCAACAACAACCUUGGACAUUGGAUUGUACUAAAAGCGCGUCAAAAACACCUCACUCCCGCACCCAGACAGUGACUAAAAUUCUGGUCAGCAUAUUCAAUGCAGUAACCUUGCAAUGAUGUUGAAUUGAAUUUCCCUGGUGUGUCUUUUUUUAAAUAUCUGUCAUUUACAUAUGAUUUUACUCACAGGGUUUGAUUUGAUAUCUGUUUGAAUCUCUGUUUGUGAGACUAUGUUUGCUCAAAUGCUGCAAACUUACCUGGUCUGGAAGAUUUACUGAGUUGUCAUUUUAAGCUAUGCACAGGUGGCAUGAUAACAAUAUAUAUUUUUUUGUAUACGGCACCUUUAAUGAGGAGGCUUUCCAAAAAAAUCCAGUCUGUUUAACCCCAUUUGCAGUAACUGCAUGAGAUGUUUUAUUCCUAUUUUACAGAUCCUUUCAUGAUUGCACGCAUCUCUAAAAGACAGAUGUUGCUUGAAUGAGUUUCCUGCUGAAACAGCUGUCCCUAAUAAACAAACGACUAUAAAGGCGGCGUUUCAUAGGCAAUUGCAUCAAGGAAGCAGCAGUGUGGAGUUUUUCUUCAACCUGUCACUCAACUCACUUUUCAGCUAUGCUAUGAGACCAUAUGGCUUAGAGUUUGGAGACUAUAAACAAGUUUGACUGACAGUCCAAUCAGGGCUUUCAAAGCACAGCGCAAAACAGGAUGAAUUUAGUUUGAAUGUCAGUGUUGGCUAACACCCCACAGCACGAUGACCCAAACAAAAGAUGAUUGUUUUUCUGGAUGGAUUUUAAUUACUUCACAUGUGUUGUGAAACCUGUUCAUGCUGAACCUCCUACCACUCUUUCCUCUCACACCAUGUAAAUACCUGCAGCUGGACAAUUUUGUAAUAAAGCGUGUCGGCACACUAAACGCUUAGUCUGCUACUCCCUCUAAAUUUGGGCCUUUGUUAAAUUGGAUUCCAAAUGCAAUUAUCUGCCAAGGUAAUUCAUGACAGAGUACCCUGCUGUAGCUGCUCAUUUAAAAGGAUGCAGUCAUUUAGGUGUCAUUUUGGAACAAUACUGUAUCUCUUGGAAAAGGUGAGGCCCAGAGGGAGCGUAGCGGGCUUUUUAUUCUGUCUGGACGAGCGGCUAUGAAUGAUUAGUGUCUUCCAAUAACUAGUUCCAAGGAGAGUGUUUAAAGCGAAACUGUAAGCAAAUGUCUGGCCUAGAUCUGUUUAGUAAUGAGUUGGAUCUCCAUGAUUAGUCAAAUCCAUCACAAAUGGUGCUAUUUGUAUAAUGUUUGCAAAACACAAGCAUUUUUAAUCAGCAUGCAGAGCCUUUCCAGGGAAAUCAUGUCAGUGGCAGAUGGAUUCUCAAUAUCAAGACCAGCCUGGUUAUAGCACUUGCUUUGAGGUAACCUUAUGUAGGCUCAGUGGGUCCUUUUGUCUGUCUCAGUGCUAGUUUGAUGUGCUGCAGUGAAAUGCUUACUUUUUUUUCUUCUAAGCCACGCAGUGUUCACAAAUCAGAGGACUGUUUCUGAUGCAGGACUUCAAGACAGCUACGCUUCCAGGCAGCCUGCAAGUGGAUUAAUCCAGGGAAAGAGUAAUUGCCCUUGCAUUGUAUUGACUCGAUGCAUGGAGGAAUUCAGAUCACUUACAGUACUGUAGGAUUGAAGCCAGUGCCUCAGACAAACUAAGGUGUUUAUGUGUGUGCAUUUAAUUUGGAGUAAGACUGCAAUGGUCCUAUUAAUGGAUUAAAGGACUGCUUGUAAAUGUAAUGAUGCGAAUCUGCUGACUACUUUGGAAAAUAUCAGAGCGGGACAUGAAUUAACAGCAGUCUUCCCACCCUUAACAAAGGCAUACAAACUGGUCUCACAGCAAUGAGUGAAAGUGUCACAGAAUAGAAAUAGAAAUACAAAGGAUUUCUCCUUUUUAUUACCUAAGCAACAAUUCAGAAUAAACUCAUUUUAAUGAAAGUGAUAUUUUGGGGUUGCAACAUGUAGGCCUCCAAGUGUCUGACAGCGGUGAUACAAAUGUUAAUAAUGUACCCAGCAGCCUUUUCUCAGACAAAUCUUUCUUCUAGGAAAGACCAAACACACUUGAAACCAGCAGCUUUAGUAUAUGCCAGUGUACAGUCCUAACAUAAAACAGUGUAUGCAUGUAAAAAACCUGUAUGCUCUUGAAUCCACAGCUUUAGUUAAUUAUAAUUAUCCAUAUCUAAUUUUGUGGUCGUCCAGGACUUUGAUUCUUAAGCAUCUGUUGUUUAAAUGAUUCCUUUGUACCAAACACAUGUAUCCUGUGUUUGACUCUCCUCUCUGUACACACUAUAUAGAUGUUCAUUAUGCAUGCACACAAUGCUCUUCUGUGUUGUUCAGGGUCAAGGACUGAUUACUCAUUAUUGUCACUUAUUAGUCUGGUUAUGUGACCAGUACUGCGAAUGGCAACCCAAGGGCUGCGCUGAUCUGUGAUGUAGUUACUAACGCUGCGUUCCAGUUGUACCCUGAAGUCGGAUUCUCUGAGCUCCGAGUUGGGAAUUCAUCUUGAACGGAUUUCCGAAACGGAAAGUUGGAUGAUCCUCACCAACCCUGACAUGACAUCAUAAUCCAAGAUGGCAGCGCAAUGCAUCAACAGUAAAGAGUAACAAUGAAAGCUCUCGAAAUUAUUAGCGCUUCUGUUUUGUUUUUGUGAAAUGAAAUAAUUGAUAUAUGUUGUACUGCCCUUUGUCUAACUGUGAACACGGUGCUAUGGUGUUUGUAAGGGUAAAAUACUGUGUUAUGCGUUCUUUACAACUUGUAUCACGAACAACAACUAACAACGGCUGACAACGGCUAACGACCGCUGACAAUUGUAAACAACAGCUAACAACGGGUAAUAAAAGGCGUCCAUCUUGAUUUUCCGACUUGUUAACUGGAAUGCCAUCAACACGGGUGUAAUGUCAUCCCAGCUCCGACAUCUGACCUCCAUGGGAACUUGAACGCAGCAUUAACCAUGAGUCCUAGUAAAGUCUUGAACCCUAUAAGUUUUCAAGUCUAAAUCAAGUCUGAGCCACCAGAGAAGAAUUACCAGAUUUGAGGUCAAAAUCAUAACCAAACAUGUUGCUCUUCUCUGGCUUGCAUUUAUUGUAGAACACUUAAAAACAAUGACUUGCUUAUCAAGACGGCACAUAAACAUGCAUGCAACACAAAUACAUACCCACUGUGAGAUUAUCAGAGCCUUACAUGAAACAAUCUGAACAUUUAAACCGUCGAUAUGAAAAAAUAAGUCCUACAAAAGUGCUGUCAGAGCUUGAGUGUGAGUACAAAUCCAAGACAUCAGUGCUCGAGUCCAAGACCAGUCACAACUCCUGAAAAGCAACACUUGAGUCAAACUGAAGUCUGCUUCCUGGAAUCAAGCACAACAACACUGCACCCCCACAAACUUGAGCUGUAGUUGGCAGUAUGUGUGGUCAGAGGCAUACUAUUUUGGCUGAGUUGAACAAGAUAGUUUCUUUGCAUUUCAUUGUAGCAUGUUUACUUUUUUUUGUGGAUACAUCUCUUUUUUGAGUUUAAAAACGAGUGCCAAUGUCAAUUAACGAUAUCCUUGAUUUUGAAGCACCAUUGCACGGUUAUAAAAGUUGUUCUGCCACACUUGGCUCUCCUUUGAUUCUAUUUGAAAGCACUCUGUGCUCAGUAUUUGUUUCUAUCAAGUAAAAUAUUAGGAGCAAAACAUACAUUUGAUAAGAAUCCGUCAGUCAUAGAAAAAGCCCUGAAGUUGUGCCUCAGAAUGGCACUUGAGAAAAGUUUGUACUUCACAAGGACUUCAGCCAUUGUUUCCAAAGAUAAUGCCAGAAUUUCUGCCCCUGCUUGAUUUUUAUGUGUCGGCGAUGAUAAGCUUCCAUAAAUUUAACUCUUCCUGACCAAGUGUGACAGCUAUUGCAAUGGAUGUGUUUUUUUGGCUGGGAAUGGUAAGUGCAAAAAAACACUGAUAUGCAUUUGUUUUGUUUUAAAAAAGGAAAAGUAGCUGCUGUCCAAUCCAAAAGCACUGUCAGGUGAUAUAGACCCUUAAAUUUGAAAGAUUAAAAAGAUUAAUCUGUUGUCUUUUUUAGGAUAGAUCAAGGAUUGUUAUUGUGUGCUAUGCUCAAUAAUGGAUAUUAUUUGUCCUUCUGAAAAGUUUCAGUCUGCUUAAAGAAAUAAGAUUAUACAACUCUCUUUGAAAUUCAUAACUUUAAAUCCAAGUAACUUAAUGUAAAAGAAUUGAGUUUUAGAUAGUUAUUUAAUAAAGGUGUUAAGACUAGUUUUAAAAAGCUUAAAAAUGAUUGGAAAUGUUCCCUGUCAGGUCUUACCCUGUAGGCUUCCAAAAUUCACACAGCAUUAAAAAGAGGGGCUUUUAGUUUCACAGUACCAAGUAAUUGGAAUUUGCUUCCUAGAUUUUGAGCUUACUGUAUUAAAACCAUUUGUAUAAAUCCUUUGUAAUUUCAGAAUUCACAAAUCUUAAUAACUUUUGCUUUCGAUAUUUGAAAUGUUACUUUUUUUGUUCAUUGUUCAGUUGAUUAUUUUAUGUUUUUCUCUUUUAAAGCUUAUACAUGUAUUUCAAAGUGUUGGUCUUGUUCUUUUUCUGAAUACUGCAGUCUCUCCUGAUCUGAUGAUUAUAUGGAAUCUGCUCACUCUCAUACACUAGCUGUAUUUGCUUUGCUGUACUCGUUGUGUCUUUCCUGUGACACCUUUGCAAAUGAGAUUUACAUAGAUAUAUGAUGAUAAUUGUGAAAAUGACUGCUCACCAGUAAGGUUGUAGUAAAUAAGUGAAGUGUGUUGUUGAGUAGCUGUAGUUUUGUUUUCUUCUUCUGCUGCUGAACUUGCUGGCUGUUGCUGCUGCUGUAAAUACAAAUGUGUUAGAGUUAAUUUUCACCCACUUCCUUGAACAUCUCAUGAGGAUCUUUGCAAAUAUGUCUGUUAAUUGUAUGACGGCAUAAGUGUUAAUCACUUUUUAACAAAAUGUGGAUCGAAAUAAAAGUGGUUGCAUGAUCUCAUUAUGAUAAAUAAAUGAAUAAUACAUAAAUAAAUGAAUAAUUUUUUCUGUUGUUGCAAUAUCCACUUCAUUCAUGGAACAGCAGCAUUCAGUAUUGGAGUGAUGUGUCUGUUAAUACCUUGUCAAUCUUUCUUGAAGGUUGUGUACAUAGAGCAGUGAUUGAACUGGCAUACAUACAGAUAAUAUAAUAUAAUAUAAUAUAAUAUAAUAUAUAUAUAUAUAUAUAUAUAUAUAUAUACACUCACCGGCCACUUUAUUAGGUACACCAUGCUAGUAACGGGUUGGACCCCCUUUUGCCUUCAGAACUGCCUCAAUUCUUCGUGGCAUAGAUUCAACAAGGUGCUGGAAGCAUUCCUCAGAGAGCUUGGUCCAUAUUGACAUGAUGGCAUCACACAGUUGCCGCAGAUUUGUCGGCUGCACAUCCAUGAUGCGAAUCUCCCGUUCCACCACAUCCCAAAGAUGCUCUAUUGGAUUGAGAUCUGGUGACUGUGGAGGCCAUUUGAGUACAGUGAACUCAUUGUCAUGUUCAAGAAACCAGUCUGAGAUGAUUCCAGCUUUAUGACAUGGCACAUUAUCCUGCUGAAAGUAGCCAUCAGAAGUUGGGUACAUUGUGGUCAUAAAGGGAUGGACAUGGUCAGCAACAAUACUCAGGUAGGCUGUGGCGUUUCAACGAUGCUCAAUUGGUACCAAGGGGCCCAAAGAGUGCCAAGAAAAUAUUCCCCACACCAUGACACCACCACCACCAGCCUGAACCGUUGAUACAAGGCAGGAUGGAUCCAUGCUUUCAUGUUGUUGACGCCAAAUUCUGACCCUACCAUCCGAAUGUCGCAGCAGAAAUCGAGACUCAUCAGACCAGGCAACGUUUUUCCAAUCUUCUAUUGUCCAAUUUCGAUGAGCUUGUGCAAAUUGUAGCCUCAGUUUCCUGUUCUUAGCUGAAAGGAGUGGCACCCGGCGUGGUCUUCUGCUGCUGUAGCCCAUCUGCCUCAAAGUUCGACGUACUGUGCGUUCAGAGAUGCUCUUCUGCCUACCUUGGUUGUAACGGGUGGUUAUUUGAGUCACUGUUGCCUUUCUAUCAGCUCGAACCAGUCUGGCCAUUCUCCUCUGACCUCUGGCAUCAACAAGGCAUUUCCGCCCACAGAACUGCCGCUCACUGGAUAUUUUUUCUUUUUCAGACCAUUCUCUGUAAACCCUAGAGAUGGUUGUGCGUGAAAAUCCCAGUAGAUCAGCAGUUCCUGAAAUACUCAGACCAGCCCUUCUGGCACCAACAACCAUGCCACGUUCAAAGUCACUCAAAUCACCUUUCUUCCCCA